RNAcentral lists this long non-coding RNA (44652 nucleotides) under Zea mays. Its description in RNAcentral is "long non-coding RNA (ZMAY_LNC005129)". The stretch from base 22263 to 22566 matches the Rfam family "Plant signal recognition particle RNA". Lineage: Eukaryota; Viridiplantae; Streptophyta; Magnoliopsida; Poales; Poaceae. The record is from RNAcentral.
GUAUCAGAGGCUGUUUGGUCGAAGUCCAAGGCAUGAGGAGUAUUUUUAUGCAAAUCCUCUUCCAGGGUGCUUGUGCAGAAGAAACACACAGGAUCAAGUGGCAUGAACCUUACAUACGAAUAGACUGUUAUCAUAUAUUGAACUUUCCUCCAACCCAUUGACAUACACCAAACAGUGAAAAUCCGGGUAAACUGACAGCAAAAAGACAAGUUUAUGUAGUUUUCCAUCUUACAUGAGGAUACAAGAGGGAACACUCACUGAAAUGUGCAUUUUCAAAAGAUGUUUAUUCAGGUUUUAAAAUAGAACAGGCAAAGAUAUUCAAAGAGGAUACGUGUUGUACCACAGAGUAUAUAAUUAGCAGAUUUGAUGAGUUUUUAGUGUAUGUUUGUAUUUACUCCAUAGUCCACAUGUAAAGCCUCUCAUGUAUGAGAUUCUUCUGGGAGCCUCCGACACUUGGUUUGUCCUCCAGAUGUACAGCCUUAAAUCUAAAAAUUAACUUUAUUCAUUUAUUAUGCACAAUAAUCAUUAGUUGUAGCGGUAGUACUAUGCCCAGUUUCUCUUGUGAGGUGAGGUGUUUCUCUUGUAUUCAUAGGCUCAUCCCUUGACACCUCUAUGAUAUCAGCCUCUUUCCAUGCCGUGUUUAUCACCUCCUUUAUUUUAUCUCUGGAAGCCCACAAUGACAAUGCCAAAUUGAGAUCGAAGAACACUUUGAUUCCAAAUUUCUUGGACAGCUCAAUGGCUCCGAAGAGCGUGUCAUGCAUUAAGGGGGUUUAACAGGACUUCUGAAUUGAAUUGAAACAUUCUAGCCUGUGUAAUUGCCACAUAGAUUAGAUCUGAAUAAAGAGGAAAAUGUUUUUUUUGUUGCCAGCGUGUGAACCUGAACGGUGGAUUCUGCUAAAAAUGCUUACUUGAAACAGUUUGGAAGAUGAUCUCACCACGAUUGCGAAAGAUAUAGUGAUUGUGAAAUAUACUUGAUGAACUGUUCGUUGCUGUUUUCCGGUUUUUUUUAUCUCUCUGAUAUCAGUCUCACACCUCUAUAGUUCAAUUGGGGACGGAAAGUUCAUAACGAGUAGUAGUUUUAAAGCAAUCUCUCACCAGGAUCAACUCGGGUGUUUGCAUCAGUAACCCAGAAAUAUUUUAUCUUGAUAACGAGCUGAGGCUCAGCCUACCCACUCUCAUCAAUGGUGUGACUCAUCUUAAGAUUAUUCAUAAAACUCUCCAAUACAUUUUAAAAAAAUACCUCAGUAUUUAUUAUGCAAUGAAAAAAAUCUUCAGAUUAGUUCUUAAUGUUUGAAAUUAUCAUGCAAUUCCUAAUCCUAAGUUCCUAAAUUUACUAAUGCAAUUCCUAAUCCUAAGUUCCUAAAUUUACUCACGCAAUAAUCCUAAGUUUCUAAUUAACAUCAUAGCUAAUGCUGGUACGCAGACGCAGCAGCUCAUGCAACGAGGCCGACAUACUCGAGCUCCACGGAGCCUAACCAGAGCUUCCCCUUCAUCUCCGCCACGUCGCUCAGCGUGACGCCCUUGGCCGCCCCCUUGGCCAGCCGAUGUGGGACUAAAGCCGGAGCGCUGACUACCAGUCCCUGACAUCCCCCACCCCCUUGGGAAGCCCCCCAAGGCAUGGGCCAAACCGGGCUCUGAUACCAGAUGUCAGCGUCCAACCCCCGGUCCAGCUCACACUCGACAGCUUCGGGCGUUCAUGCGCUCGUGGGCCGGCCCAGCCAAGAGAGCCCACCACUCACAUCCCAAAAGCCAGGCUGAUGGGAGGAGGGAGACUCUCCCUUUUAAGCUGCCCACAGCCCCUUGGCUAGCCAGCCGAUGUGGGACUAAAGCCGGAGCGCGACAUAAACCUCCUGGGAUACGUCGCGCUGGAGUCGGUGAAGUAGACGUCUCCGGUGGACUGGUCGACGUCGAGACCGUUGAUGAAGUGGAACGGGGCGCCGCCCGCGCCGGUCGCGAGCACCUCGGCCUCGCCGCCGCCCGGACCGACCCUCAUGAGCCCCAGGUAGGCGUCGGCGAUGUAGAGGUCGCCGGUCUUGGUGUGGAACUGGAGGCCCAGCGGGCGGCCGCACAUGCUCUCGAUCUCCUCCGACGGCACCACUCCCGCCGUGCACAGGGGUAUCUUGCGGUAGUUUACGCUGUGCGCGAACGUAGUCCAGCCGACGGUUGUGCCGCCCCACUUGAGGACGCGGCCGUCCGAGACACCGGCGUAGGGCCCCUCGCCCUUGCCGUCGAAGGCGAGGCUCUCGGCGCCGCGGAGGCCGCUUGGUAAAGGAAGCUGGAAGCUCCAGCGCGUGUCGGUGGUCUUGAUCUGUGCGGCGGCACACGGCCGGGCGAAAAGGGCUAGGGCUAGCACGACCAAGGCGAGGAGCCACGUCGCUAGAUUGCUCCGACGCCCCAUGCUGCUAGCUAUAUCUUCCUCGCGAUGAUCUUUCUAAUGUGCGAGAUGGAGAACCUGCAGCCCCUACCUUGGAUGGAGAACAACCCUCCAUAUGGCAUUACAUAUAUAUAGUGCCGGCUCAAGGGAUUCCAGGUUUGUUACAACCCAAUCUAAUCUAAUCUACUAUUUCUACGGUCCUAUCACGACUACUCGGACUUUUAGUUCAGGAACAAACGACUUUACAACUUUAUAGCUAAAUAUAAGUUGCUCAUAUUUUGUUUGUCCAUUUAAAUUGAGUUGAAAUUCAAAACCCAAAUUGUAAUUUGAAGUUUCAAAAUAAAAUAGGAAAAUAAAAAGCAAGCAGGAAAUAAAAUGAAAAGAAGAAGAAUAAACUUACCUGUUACUAGUUACUACCUCGGUCAGUUCUACCGUCGGCCCAUUAACCACUCACGCCUGCACAACCGAUCUCGUCUCCCUCGGGUGUUAGCACCGGUGCAACCGAUACAGGGACCCCACUGGUCGGGCUCUCAGUCGCACGGAUGUCUCUAAUCAGUUACUGGAGGCUGGGCCAGCUCGCUCAGUAACGGAAAGCCUCGUACUUGUUGCGUGGAUAUUCAGAAAGAAUAGUGUCUAAAUUUAAACCAAUAGUAGAUGUGUACUCUGUAGUAGGAUUGAAUUGUCGGAUAUGUACAUUUCAUCAUUCUUCUAUUUUCGUGAAACAUGUCACUUCCUAAUCUCUUUGCUACGCAAAUGCGCAAGAACACUCUGCAUACUAAAUACUUUGGCUGACACACCAUGUGCUCGUUCCUUGCUUUCGAUCAGCGCAGGAGUAACACACCUAAUUAUAUAUAUGUUUAAGAGAUCCUGAAUAAUUAUUUUCGAACAAUGAAAAGAGACUGCAUGGAAAUUUUACUAUUAAUAAGCUGACCUCUGUAAGGUUCUGCAUCACCAAGUAACAAAUACAUCUAUCGCUCACGCGCAGCGAUUUCUGCUUGGCUAGAGCCACGAGCUGAUGUGAACUACGCAAUCUGGGAUUUCUCUGCCACAAUUUUUUUUGCCUGUCAGAUUUUGAAGCACUUCUUUGAGCUCAAUAUGUAUCGAGUCUUACAGAACAGGUACAAAUUUGAGUUCGCCAGCCUGUAGGCAAGGCGACCUUGACCCCUUUGGAUGUCAGGAGUUAUUCGAGUUAAAUGCUUAUUCUCAUAUGCUUCAACGCACACAUACUCACAUGUAUAAUUUAUAAGCUUCUAUGAACAUGCACAUGCAUGAUCAACAUCUUCGAAAACUGGGUCGAUAAUUUUUUAAGAUGGAAUUAAUGAAGUUAUUAUAGACGUCUCGCUGUCGAUAAUAGUAUCGUUUAUCACUAUAAGCGUAAAAACCGUUAGAUCAUGAUAUAUUCGCUUAUAGAGUGAAUUGAAUUUUCGGAGGGUCAGAUUAGGAUGUACCGGCUCUUUCGCUGCUGCGUGCUGCCACUUUUGGUUGUUCACGCUCUCACGCAACACAUGAUUAAAAGGAAAGGCCCCUCUCUACGGCCCACGUAUCAACAACAAGCUCUACCAUAUGCAUGACAUUUGUGCUAUUUAGAACCACACCGCUGGCUCACAUGAGAAGACACCAGCUUAAAAAUCUAUUCCUCAGUGCCACACUCGCCGAGCAGCUAGCGUCUGCUUGUAACCCGAGCGGGGGCAAUAAAGUGGUGUGGAUGCCAAUUGUGGCGCUUGGACCCGGGCCUGGUACUGCAAUCUGCGGCCCGCCCGUUCCAAGUUGGCAGUUGGGUUGUGACCGCUUUGGCGAAGGCCAUGGCGUCCCAACCUCUAGAGCGGCGGGCAAUGCGUGAGGCUGGUUUCACAGAGCAGCGAAUACCAUCCGCUUCCAAUGGUGGAAGGAUAACGAGCCACUGCACUCCAGGCCCACCUAGGCUCAAGCACUCUUUCUGGCAUACCACCAUUUUUGUUUUUUGGCUUGUCUUGCACACCUACUCGUUUGCCACUGCAGCCCAUUUGUCCAACCUGCAGCGUCUAGCAACAACCAUCAUCAAUCGAUUAUGUAGCCGAUUUGAACCUCUAGGCACUGGUCCUCUGGACGUUCGAUACAUUCCACAUGUAACAUGUUCUUGCCAUUUUGUACAUACUAGUGUGUUCUGGUUGAGUUUACAGUGUCUGCAGUAAGCCAAUUCUUUUGGAUCAAAAGCCAUUAAACGCUCUAGAAGAUGAAGAGCCAAAGGAUAGGAACUUGUAAAGCUCAAGUAUCUACUGUCCUCAUUUUGAAUCUAUAGAUAUCUUAGACAACAUCAUGGGGCAGAUGAGGAGGGAAACACACCUAACAACAGUGCUUGGCUCCAUGCCCACACAUCGGCAGCAUGGCACGAGUGGGGAAGAAACCGGGGCUCUGGUCUGGUCAUGCGUUGCUAAGGGGGGUAGGUAUUUUAGCGUCAUAGUGUGUACCAACCUGCCUGGUAGCUCGCAUUGCUCAUGGCGGCUGUCGCGGGCCUCCACGUUUGUUGCCCCGGUAUGGGAGGAUGGGUGAAGGCGGCACACAGAGAGGUAUGUGAUGGGCAGAAUGGCGCUGAGGACAUCGCAUGUGGUCCCCUCGAAUCCCUCGGACGGACGACAACAUUUGAGGAGAGCAAGUGAGGUGGGUCCUGGGGGGUGGCGGGUGACGACGUUUGAGCGGCGUGGAGAUGGAAGCCGCUUACCUGGACUGCGGGAUCACGAUUCAAAAGCGCUGGCGGUUGUCGCUAGAGCCGGGGGAGGGGGGAGGGGGCAGGACACGACGCCAGGAGCCCCUCACAGAGCGUGAGCUAGAGGAAGAGAGACGGAGGAUGAAGAGAGAAAGCGAGGGCAAGCGAGGAGAGUAGCCUGGAAAUCUCUAAAGGCGAUAAAAACCACGGGCGCACGGGAGAGAAUGCGGGGAAAAUGAACCAACGAUCCACAAUCGAAUGACUAAAAUUUUUUUGGGUGACGUAGAUGGGCUCAUAGGCGUCGUUUCCAUCAGUCUUUAAUAAUAAGGAAAUACAACCAAACAAGUUGGUUACGAUCAGGGACCGACCAUUACAAUCGUAGGCAUCUCCUCUUGGCUAUAUAACCUGAGCACCCCCUCCUCAUCCAUCUUGUGCCAACGCCAAGGAGCCAAAUGUCACAAUGACCCAAGGAGUUGAGAGUGCCACCGUGAACCGAGUGCCGAACGAGAGGGAGAGAAGGUCCACGCCGCAGUUUCGGAUCUACACUGUCUCUCGGGUGGUGUGCGUGGCUAGCCCAGACGGGAGGAGUGGUCGGAGAGCAAGAAGAGUCGUCACCAGAGUCACAAAUAGAGGUUCCUACUUUUCAUCCCUAACUUCCCUAACCUAGGUCAGUUCUACCGCCGACCCAUUAACCGCUGAUGCCUGCACAACCGAUCUCACAUCCCUCGCGUGUUAGAACCGGUGCAACCAAUAGGCGGGCCCCACUGGUUGGACUCUCAGUCGCGCGGAUGUCUCUAAUCAGUCACUGGAGGGUGGGCCAGCUCGCUCAGUAACGACCUCACACGCAGCACACGGGUCACAACCUAUCGGACGCUUCUCUCUCCUGUUGUUCAAGGACAUGUAUAAAUACAUAUGUAUUGAUCUAUAAAGAUUACACACGGUUCACAUUUUCACUUUCACCAGUUUACUUUCACUAGUUUACUUUCACACGUCAUCGGCACUUGCUUUCACCAAAUAGGAGGAAACGCCAAAGAGGACAACCAGGAAGAACAAGGCAAGAACACCGACAACUAUCGGGUACGCGAUGAUCUACAAAGAUCUUUAUGUUGCCCUUCUUACCUUCAUCCUUCGAUUUUUGAACGGUGGCCAUCGUCGCNNNNNNNNNNNNNNNNNNNNNNNNNNNNNNNNNNNNNNNNNNNNNNNNNNNNNNNNNNNNNNNNNNNNNNNNNNNNNNNNNNNNNNNNNNNNNNNNNNNNNNNNNNNNNNNNNNNNNNNNNNNNNNNNNNNNNNNNNNNNNNNNNNNNNNNNNNNNNNNNNNNNNNNNNNNNNNNNNNNNNNNNNNNNNNNNNNNNNNNNNNNNNNNNNNNNNNNNNNNNNNNNNNNNNNNNNNNNNNNNNNNNNNNNNNNNNNNNNNNNNNNNNNNNNNNNNNNNNNNNNNNNNNNNNNNNNNNNNNNNNNNNNNNNNNNNNNNNNNNNNNNNNNNNNNNNNNNNNNNNNNNNNNNNNNNNNNNNNNNNNNNNNNNNNNNNNNNNNNNNNNNNNNNNNNNNNNNNNNNNNNNNNNNNNNNNNNNNNNNNNNNNNNNNNNNNNNNNNNNNNNNNNNNNNNNNNNNNNNNNNNNNNNNNNNNNNNNNNNNNNNNNNNNNNNNNNNNNNNNNNNNNNNNNNNNNNNNNNNNNNNNNNNNNNNNNNNNNNNNNNNNNNNNNNNNNNNNNNNNNNNNNNNNNNNNNNNNNNNNNNNNNNNNNNNNNNNNNNNNNNNNNNNNNNNNNNNNNNNNNNNNNNNNNNNNNNNNNNNNNNNNNNNNNNNNNNNNNNNNNNNNNNNNNNNNNNNNNNNNNNNNNNNNNNNNNNNNNNNNNNNNNNNNNNNNNNNNNNNNNNNNNNNNNNNNNNNNNNNNNNNNNNNNNNNNNNNNNNNNNNNNNNNNNNNNNNNNNNNNNNNNNNNNNNNNNNNNNNNNNNNNNNNNNNNNNNNNNNNNNNNNNNNNNNNNNNNNNNNNNNNNNNNNNNNNNNNNNNNNNNNNNNNNNNNNNNNNNNNNNNNNNNNNNNNNNNNNNNNNNNNNNNNNNNNNNNNNNNNNNNNNNNNNNNNNNNNNNNNNNNNNNNNNNNNNNNNNNNNNNNNNNNNNNNNNNNNNNNNNNNNNNNNNNNNNNNNNNNNNNNNNNNNNNNNNNNNNNNNNNNNNNNNNNNNNNNNNNNNNNNNNNNNNNNNNNNNNNNNNNNNNNNNNNNNNNNNNNNNNNNNNNNNNNNNNNNNNNNNNNNNNNNNNNNNNNNNNNNNNNNNNNNNNNNNNNNNNNNNNNNNNNNNNNNNNNNNNNNNNNNNNNNNNNNNNNNNNNNNNNNNNNNNNNNNNNNNNNNNNNNNNNNNNNNNNNNNNNNNNNNNNNNNNNNNNNNNNNNNGAAAUUUGAGAUUCGAUUCUUAAAAUUCUUCAGUAGCAGCUUGUGUCAGGAUUUUUUCCAAUGUUUUAGUACUUGGAAAUGAUUCAAUAAAUAUUUCUUUAAAUAUGAUAUUUAUUGUCAUGUGUUCUAUUAUGCAUUCCUUAAAAUGCAAACUAAAAAACAUAUUCAUUUCAAUUAUACCCAUAGUGGUUUAAUACGAGCAGAAUUAAUUUUUUGAUAGAACAUAAAGAAUAAUCAAUAUUCAUCUCAAUUAAGUUAUUCAAAACUUAAUACUAGCAAGAAUAUGUAUUAUUCGAUUCCGUACGCAAUUGAUGCUACCCAUAUAUUCAUCUUAUUAAGUUACUAAUAGUACAUAAUUUCAUCUGAAAAUUUUAUAUUAGAUAUACUACAUCAUAACAUCAUAAUGAAAUUUUCGAUCUCUUGCAUCACUUUGCAAUUGAGACCUUAAACUAUGAUUCAUCUAUGCAAUAUCGCAUUAUAUUGCAUAUUAUUCAUCUCAAUUGGGUUUUUCUCUUAAAUCCAAUACGAGCAAGAAUACAUAUAUGUUUGAACACCACACAUAUUACAACACACCCAUGAUGAUUAUUAAUGAAAUUCUCUGGUUGCUUGUGUAGGAUCAUGGCCCGCGAGUUCAAAGAACUUGCUCUUGAUGGACACAACUAUCCUACUUGGGCGUUGGAUAUCAAGAUUAGCUUAGCCUCAAAGAAUAUUCUGAGUGCAUUACUCCCUCCAACGAGAGGGUUGAACCACUACAUGAUGCUUAUAAGUACAACACUUUGUACAUUAUAAGACAUCACCUCCAUCCUGAUCUACUUCAAGCAGAAAAUCAUGAUGAGCUUAUGAUAAAAAAUCAUAAGCAAUAUCGUGUUGGAGCUGCUCCUAUGCCAGAAAACCAUCCCAAGAACUCUGAUAAUUCAAAUAAGCGCAAACGCAACAAGCGUACGAAUAAGAAAAAUACAAAGGCUCCGAGGAAAGACACCCCCCACUUCCAAGCAAGAGAAGUGUAAGAAGUGUGGAUGCUUGAACCAUCCUACUAAAAAGUGUUUCAUUCCUUGUCAUUUAGUGGCACUGUACCAGCAAUCUCUUAAGGGAAAAAAUGUUGAAGGACAAGGAUAUGAAGCUCACUUCACCACCCCACCUAACUUGAAGGAUGGAGCUGGUUGCUCAAGCAUGGCUACAAUGGAACCAAGCACGACCAACCCUCCGCUUCUGACCAACACCGAAUACAUGAACUUGGACAAUGCCAUCAUCGAAUAUGCUUCGAGUGAUGUGUUUGGAUACCUUUACUAGGAUCCUCAUGCUUCUACCAGAUAUCAUCUAUUUGUAAGUCUAUGAGUGUGUGCAACAAGUGUGUUGUAAUAAGUACCUAGACCUUGGAAUUUGUGUGUAUAUUCCACACUCUACUGUAUAAUUAUGUAUGUACUUAUAUGUAUAAUGAAGUGUCCCAAUCCUCUGGGACUCAAAUGUGAUACAAUUACUAGUCCCAGGAGGCUAGUAAACACAUUUAUAUAUCAGAUGAUUCCAGAUCUGCUUAAACAAGACAAACCUAUAAAGGUGGCGAUCAACUUUAAGAGUUGGUCCACAACUCAGGACAUAUCAUCAGAGUGGGGCUAAAGCAGCCCGAUAUACGCAGCGAAGCAAAUCAGCGGUCCAACAGCCACAUGCAAGGCUGGGAACAGGCGUAACUCUUACCCGAUCAGCGAUCUCGUUCUCUAAAAAGCAACAAAUAAGCAAGAGUGAGUACUUACGUACCCAACAGCCCACCUUCCCCCAUGGAAUGGAGAAAUCAGAUAUAAUGCAUGGAGUAUGUGGAGCUCAUGAUAUUUUGCAGAAAGAGCAAUAUUUGAUGCAGGGUUAUUUUGUAAAACAUUUUAUAUUUUUCAAAGCACGUCCUCUCCCAAAGGAGCAGGAAGUUUUUCAAUAUAGAACAAAAUCCCCUGGACUAAACCAUCCAGGUAUCUCAGCAGUUUCCCACUGGUUUUCAUUUUCAAAAAUAGCUACUGGACUUCCCGUCCACCAUAGCUCACAGCUCAACCGUCAGAACUUUUAAAAACCACUUUUCAAAAGCAUUUUUGGAAAACAAAACACUAAUUGUCAAAUCCAUGCCAUAACUCAUUCAUAUCCGUGGACGCGGACUAUUUGAAUAGGUUUUUAACUCUGCGCAGAGGUGUACACUUUACCCACUAGUCCGGUUUCUGCAAUCUCACCGUCGUGAGAUCCAAAUGCCGAAACUCUCUCCUUCCUUGCACGUCCAUACCUUAGCGAUUAUACCAGAAGGAACAAGGCCACCGCCAUGUCCAAACCGGACAAAACAUUCCCCUUUCUUAUCCUCCCGGUGCUCACCAGCCGUCAUAACCCUGGGGUUCGGACCGUGCAAGUUCAGAUCAAGCGACUGCCCAUACAGUAUCGAGUGGUUAUACUUGAUAAGAGUAUAGGUAAGCAGUGAUGACAAACCGGUCCUCAGGCGAGAGGGACAAUCCUUCAUGCUCACACCUAACCUGGCUGAGCCAUCACCUUAGGCCCUCCCCUAAACCAGGGAGUCUCUGAUCAUCCCGCUCAAGGGUGAUAAGGGUGACAACCCUUCAUCAUAUCCAUUUUGAAAACAUUUUCUUUUGAAAACUCACACCUUUUCUCAAAUCAUUUGUAACAAAAAUAUCAAGGAGCAUAAAGAUUAAUUGCGGCAAAGUUCUAAGGCAGGGUGGCCAUAAUAACUUGUCUCUUAACAGAAAAAUCAUAUCAUGCAUAAAAUAACAGGCUGAGGGUUGUGGUUGAAAAGCAUAGGUAAUUUAUGCAUCAAAGGGAUCCAGUGAGCUUGCAGUGCUUAACCGGCGAAAGGGUGAGAGCUCGCGGAACUGGCUUCUGGCUCCACCGUUUGCCGUAGGCUUACAGAUCUGGCCUUCACGAGACAGCACAAACGCUCCAAUAACUAUGCAGCAUGAACAAGAAAACAUACAAACCAAUAAUUAUAUCAACAAAUAUUUAGUAUAGUGGUCAGAAUGGCAAUAUAUGGAUGGGUAGAGUCUUGAGCAGAAUCUAUGUCAUAUGGUGUUGUGAUAUUACUCGUGGUGGAGUGGAGGUGCUUACCAGGAGGGUGGAUUGGAGGCGAAGCGACACUGUGCGUGCAGCCGACAGAGCGGAGUAACUGAGUGGGUGGGGUGUUUGCCUUGGUUGAGGGUGUUGAGUGUGUGGAGAGGGAGAGGGUAAGUGGGUCUAUUUAUAGCUGGGUGUAUAUGGUGUAGUACAGUAAAUUUCACUGUUGGUGAGAAUAGUGACGAAUGAAUCGUCUGAGUUAGUCUGAACAGAAAAAUUAUAGGGAGAAUAUGGGACAAGAGUAUUUUGAGAGUUUUCUAGAAUAUGAACCAUGCUUAAGGGAUGACAUGGUUGAAUAGGGAAUAAUUUGAUAAGAAUUUAGAAACAAGAAUUAUUGGAAUCUGAGUUUGGAAGCCUGGUUCGAAAGAAUCUCAAAGUUAAGCGUGCUCAACUUAGAGAAAUCUAGGAUGGGUGACCAGAUGGAAAGUUCUUACUAGAAGGAAAAUCAUAGUCACCGGAGUUUGUAUGACUGGAAUAUUGGUUUGGCAGGUCUUAGGUGAGCUGGACAACAUGAUGGAUGAGCAGUUGAAUAUUUGGGUGAUAGGAUGGGCGAUGAAUAGCAACGAUGAAUAGUAAGGAAGAAAUAGUAACAAUGAGCAGUAACGAAGAAAUAGUAACAAUGAAUAGUAACGAUGAAUAGUCCAUAUGAACGGACGAUGAACGAUGAAUAAUGACUAUGAACGAAUGACGAACGAUGAAUAGGGACUACGAACGAACGAUGAACGAUGAAUAGGGACUAUGAACGAACGAUGAAUAGGGACUAUGAACGAACGAUGAACGAUGAAUAUUGACUAUGAACGAACGGACGAACGAUCGAAUGAUCGAACGAAAGAUCGGAAUUUCGGCAGCAUAACGGCUGAACAAAGAUUAUUUGGAUGAACAAACGGAUGAACGAUCGAUCGAACAACCGAACGAACCAUGAACGAUCAGACGAACGAACGAACAAACUAAGAACAGGUGGACGAACGAUCGAACGAUCCUUGUGCUUGUGUGGGAGUGGGAAUGGGGGGAGAGUUGCCAUGAAAUGGCUUGGUAUGGCUUGAGGGGAGGCCCUUGCCCCUCUAUUUAUAGGCUAGGUGGGGGAUGAGGGGGAGGAGGCGAGGAUUAGUGGGAGGAUGCGAGGAUUAGUGGGAGAUAAGCAUGUAUUAGGCAUGUAUAAGUGAAAUUAGCUUGUAGAGCUCACAGUAUGGCACCGGAGGCGUACGUAUACGUAUGAGCAUGAGGAUAAUUAUGAAGAAAAUAUUUGCAGGGACUGUAAAAAUGAUUCUGAAGGUAUUUCUCAGGAGGAAAAUAUUUGGAGAAUUUUUGGUGGAAUAUUUGGCAGUAUUUCUGGAAAGAAUUUGAGGGGGAUCACUCGGGAAAUAUUUGUAGGAUAUUUUGAGGAGGAUUUUGGAGAGAAUAUAGACCACUAUUUUUUAUUUGUUGAUAUCAACUCGCAAACAAACAUUUUGAAAUGAAAUUUAAAAUUCAUUUUGAAUUUAGAGCAAGUUUGAGAAAUUUUAAGAUUUGAAUUUUUGGGUGCUACAUAUAAUUAAUUGAGUUCUCGCAAUUCUUGAUUAUAUAGAUUAUGCGGAAGUCAAUCCAAUGGAGGAAGAAUUAUGCCUUGUAGAUAGUGGUACCACCAACUCUAUUCUUCGCGAAACAAAAUAUUUCCAAACUCUCACAAGGAGGCCAUGAAAUGUUUUGGCAAUCGCUGGGCGCGAUGCGAAAAUAGUUGGCUCUGAACGAGCGACUAUUACACUCCCUAUGGGUACACAAGUCACUAUCGAGUAUGCUUUAUUGUACCCCGAUUCAACUCGUACCCUUCUGAGUUUUCGAUAUAUUCAGAAAAGUGGUUUACAUAUUUCUACUCAUACAGAAAAUAAUGAGGAAUUUCUCGUCAUUUCCAAACCUUCUGAAUAUGGCGCUAACAUUCUGGAAAUAAUACCUUCACUACCAUCCGGAUUGUACUACACAUACAUAAAACUAGUACCUCAUGUUACGUACAACGUGAUUUUUCAGAAUGUCGAUUCAUUCAAGUCCUGACAUGCACGUCUUGGUCACCCUGGAAUAGAGAUGAUGCAGAAAAUCACAGGUAAUUGCAUUGUUCAUGAUUUAAAGUGUGCUAAAUUCCCUAAACCAUUUGAUUUUAUAUGUACAUCAUGUGCAACGGGAAAGCUAAUCUUAAGACCAUCUCCUCUUGAGAUUCAUGCUGAACCACUCAAGUUCCUUGAACGAAUUCAAGGUGACAUUUGUGGACCCAUACAACCAUUAUCUGGACCGUUUAGAUAAUUCAUGGUAUUAAUAGACGCAUCUACACGAUGGUCACAUGUGUGCCUUCUGUCUACACGUAACCAUGCUUUUGCUAAAAUCAUGACGCAAGUCAUUCGAUUGAAAGCACAUUAUCCUGAACAUCAAAUCCAGAAAAUCCGCCUAGAUAAUGCGACUGAAUUCUCUUCUAAAGCAUUCAAUGAUUAUAGUAUGGCCCAUGGAAUACACAUUGAACAUUAUGUGCCUUAUGUACAUACUCAAAAUGGUUUAGCUAAAUCUCUUAUUAAGAGGAUCAAACUCAUCGCAAGACCUUUACUUCAUGAAUGCAAUUUACCUACUUCUUGUUGGGGUCAUGCCGUUUUACACGCUACUGAUCUUAUUCAACUUCGCCCAACUGCAUAUCAUACCACAUCCCCGUUGCACCUAGUACGAGGAAAUCCUCCAAAUAUAUCCCAUCAACGGAAAUUUGGAUGUGUGGGUUACACCCCUGUAUCACCGCCUCAGCGAACAGCUAUGGGACCUCAUAGGAAAUUAGGCAUCUAUGUGGGAUAUCAAUCCCCAUCGAUCAUCAAAUACCUAGAGCCCCUUACAGGGGAUUUGUACACAGCUCGUUUCGCUGAUUGCAUCUAACGAGGACCAUUCUCGACAUUAGGGGGAGAAUUCAAGUAUCCUAAUGAACGCCAGGAAAUCAAUUGGGAUGACAAAUCCAUCCUGACCACAGAUCCUCGAACCCAGGAAUCUAAACUUGAAGUUCAGAAAAUUAUAGAAUUGCAACAUUUUGCUAAUAAUCUGCCUGAUGCAUUUACUGACUAUAAUGGUGUCACAAAAUCCUUGAAUCCUGCUGUUAAUGCGCCUAGUCGAGUGGAGGUACCAAGAAAAACCAUUCAACCAUCUUCUCAACCGAAGAGGGGGAGGGCUGCUAAGCAGGAUAAUGCUUCUACUAAGCGUCAAAGGAAAGAGAGGAACAUACAAUCCUCCAAAUCAGUAAAUGAAAGUCAACCACCAGUUGAUGGACAUCGAGUGGAUACUGUACAUCCACAAACCAACACUCAUGUGCACAAUUCAGAUGUUGUUGGUACAUCGGAACACCACGUAUCUACUCUUCAUGUGAAUCAAGAAGACUUUCAUGGGGUACAGGAGAUUUCCAUUAAUUAUACUAGUUCUGGAGAAUUGUAUGAUCGUAAAAAUACAGUCGUCAAUUCAUGUUUCUCAUAAAUCAUAGCUGGUAACCUUCUAUCUGACCUAGAUCCUAAAUCCAUGGCAGAGUGUCAACAACGCUCGGACUGGACCAAAUGGAAGGAAGCAAUUAACUCUGAAUUAUCCUCACUAGCAAAAAGAAAGGUAUUCACCUCUGUGAUACCUACACCUCCCAGAAUCCAUCCUGUUGGAUUCAAAUGGGUUUUCACACGGAAACAGAAUGAGAACAAUGAGGUUGUGAGAUAUAAAGUGAGAUUAGUUGCUCAAGGGUUUACCCAAAGACCAGACAUUGACUACAAUGAGACAUAUUCUCCUGUUAUGAAUGGAAUAACCUUCCGGUAUUUAAUUUCAUUGGCAGUACAAAAACGUCUACUUCUGCAGUUGAUGGACGUUGUGACCGCAUAUCUUUAUGGGUCACUAGAUUCGGACAUAUACAUGAAAGUUCCAGAUGGAAUACCUGUACCCAAUAAUGGCAAAAAUCAUAACAUGUUUUGUGUUAAACUCAUCAAAUCGCUAUAUGGCUUAAAACGGUCAGGGAGAAUGUGGUACAACCAACUGAAGGAAUUCCUUAUGAAUAAGGGUUAUUCUAACAGUGAUGAUUGUCCAUGUGUCUUCAUAAAGAAAUCUUCUACACGUUUCUGCAUCAUAUUAGUAUAUGUGGAUGACUUGAACAUCAUCGGCCAUAAACGUGAUAUUGAUGAGGCGCACAAUCUUUUAAAGACGGAAUUUGAGAUGAAGGUUUUGGGUAAAACCAAAUUUUGCUUAGGUUUGCAACUUGAGCACCUUCCCACGGGCAUUCUCAUUCAUCAGUCUACUUAUGCCCAGAAAGGGAUAAGGAUCCUUUUCGACCACGAGAUGAAGGAGAAGAGAUUUUGGGUCCUGAGUACCCAUAUCUUAGUGCGAUUGGAACACUUAUGUAUCUAGCAAACAAUACAAGACUCGAUAUUGCUUUUGCGGUAAAUUUACUUGCUAGACAUAGUGCAUCCCCUACCAAACGUCAUUGGACUGCAAUAAAAAAUGUUCUUCGAUACCUUCAUGGCACGGCAGAUCUCAGUCUAUUCUACGAAAGAAAUCAAGAUCCUAGCCUCGUAGGGUACAUAGAUGUUGGUUAUCUUUCAGACCCCCACAAUGGAAGGUCUCAAACUGGGUUUGCAUUUCUAAAUGGUGGAACUGCUAUUUCUUGGAAGUCAUCCAAGAAAACUCUAGUAACAACAUCCACUAAUCACUCAUAGAUUAUUGCCUUGUAUGAAGCUUCACGUGAAUGUGGCUGGCUUCGAAGGGUGAUUAAUCACAUUCAAUCAUCAUGUGGGAUUCAUUCCAUUGAAUCACCCACCAUUAUCUAUGAAGAUAAUGCAGCUUGUGUUGCUCAGAUGCAACAAGGUUAUAUCAAGAGCGAUGUUACCAAACAUAUAUCUCCCAAGUUAUUCUAUCCUCAUCAACUUAUUGCUCCCAACCGUGGACUCCAAGGGACGUGCCCCUUGCACGUUCUCUUCAUGGUGUCGGGUGUGACCCCACGAAGGAACAGACGGCGCAUGGUCUGCAUGGCUCCAAGGGACGUGGCCCUAGCACGUUCGCACGUAUGCUUUCUCUGGUGUAUGGGCGAAGGGUCACAUCCUAUCAGACGCUUCUCUCUUCCGUUGUUCAAGGACAUGUAUAAUACAUAUGUAUUGAGCAAUAAAGAUUACACAUGGUUCUCAUUUUCAUUUUCACCAGUUUACUUUCACCAGUUUACUUUGACAAAGUUUACUAACAAGUAUGUGAAGGUAGGAACCAUAAGAAGACCAUCACUCGUCUAAGUGGUUUAUGGCAGCAUUUCGCUUGAAAUGAGGGAAGAAGUUAUUGAACCUGUUGUUGAGCCUGAGCCUGAGCCCGAGCCCGAGCCGCAUGACAACGAUGCACCAUGAAUAGGAAAAGCACAAAGACAUCAGUUCUGAUAGGAAGAUGAAAUGGAGGGCAGGGCACUGCUUAUAAUGUUCUAGAGGUAGUCAGAAUUUAGAAAUAAUGGAAAGCCUUGUACUUGUUACGUGGAUAAUAUUGUCUAAAUUUAAACCAACAAUAGAUCUGUACUCUGUAGUAGGAUUGAAUUGUCGGAUAUGUACAUGUCAUCAUUCUUCUAUUUUCGUGAAACGUGUCACUUCCUGAUCUCUUUACUCCGCAAAUGCGCAAGAACAAUAUGCAUACUAAAUACUUUGGCUGACACACCAUAUGCUCGUUCCUUGCUUUCGAUCAGCUCAGGAGUAACGCACCUAAUUAUAUAUAUGUUUAAGAGAUCCUGAAUAAUUAUUUUCGAAUGAUGAAAAGAGACUGCAUGGAAAUUUUCCUAUUACUAAGCUGACCUAUGUAAGUUUCUGCAUCACCAAGUAACAAAUAAAUCUAUCGCUUAUGCGCAUCGAUUUCUGCUUAGCUAGAGCCACAAGCUGAUGAACUACACAAUCUGGGAUUUCUCUGCCAGGAUUUUUUUGCCUGUAAGAUUUCGAAGCACUUCUUCGAGCUCAAUAUUAUUGCAAACCACCUUUUACUUACAGGUUUUAAGGGAGAAUAUACAUAACAGACAACUGCUUAAGGGGGAGUGUUAUGAAAGAUAAGCAGUUGCUUAUUGCUCCCAGCCGUGGACUCCAAGGGAUGUGCCCCUUGCAUGUUCUCUUCAUGGUGACGGGUGUGACCCCACAAAGGAACAGACAACACAUGGUCUGCAUGGCUUCAAGGGACGUGCCCCUAGCACGUUCGCACAUAUGCUUUCUCUGGUGUAUGGGCGAAGGGUCACAUCCUAUCGGACAUUUCAAUUUCUGGAAUAUUAUUUUGAGUAUUCAGAUCUAAAUCCAAAGUUCCGAUUUUUUUACUGUUUAUAGGCGCAAGCUUGUCGAGCUCAUUGACAAGCUUGAUGAAGGUACAAUAAAUUGGACAGAGUUUGCAAGUGAGGUGAAGAUGCACCAUGGAAACAGGCUUGGAGGUCCGUAUCAGAGGUUGUCUAGUCGAAGUCUGAGGCAUGAGGCGUAUUUUUAUGCAAAUCCUCUUCCAGGGUGCUUGUGCAGAAGAAACACAUAGGAUCAAGUGGCAUGAACCUUACAUACGAAUAGAUAGUUAUCAUACAUCGAGCUUUCCUCCAACUCAUUGGCAUACACCAAACAGUGAAAAUCCGAGUAGACUGACAGCAAAAGGACAUGUUUUUUUCUUCCUAUAAACAGAUAAAAUUUAUGUAGUUUUCCAUCUUACACGAGGAUACAGGAGGGAACACUCACUGAAAUGUGCAUUUUCAAGGGAUUGUUUAUUCAGGUUUAAAAAUAGAACAGGCAAAGAUAUUCAAAGAGGAUAUGUGUGGUGCCACAGAUUAUAGAAUUAGCAGAUUUGAUGAGUUUUUAGUGUAUGUUUGUAUUUACUCCAUAGUCCACAUGUAGAGCCUCUCAUGUGGGAGAUUCUUGUGGGAGCCUCUGUCACUUGGUUUGUCCUCCAGAUGCACAACCUUAAAUCUAAAAUUUAACUUUAUUCAUUUUAUUAUGCACAAUAAUCAUUAGUUGUAGCGGUAGUACUAUGGCCAGUUUCUCUUGUGAGGUGAGGUGUUUCUCUUGUAUUCAUAGGCUCAUCCCUUGACACCUCUAUGAUAUCAGCCUCUUUCCAUGCCGUGUUUAUCACCUCCUUUAUUUUAUCUCUGGAAGCCCACAAUGGCAAUGCCAAAUUGAGAUCGAAGAACACUUUGAUUCCAAAUUUCUUGGACAGCUCAAUGGCUCUGAAGAGCGUGUCAUGCAUUAAGGGGGUUUAACAGGACUUCUGAAUUGAAUUGAAACAUUCUAGCCUGUGUAAUUGCCACAUAGAUUAGAUCUGAAUAAAGAGGAAAAUGUUUUUUUGUUGCCAGCGUGUCAACCCGAACGGUGGAUUCUGCUAAAAAUGCUUACUUGAAACAGUUUGGAAGAUGAUCUCACCACGAUUGCGAAAGAUAUAGUGAUUGUGAAAUAUACUUGAUGGACUCGUUGUUGUUUUCCGGUUUCUUUUUUUAUCUCUCUGAUAUCAGUCUCACACCUCUAUAGUUCAAUUGGGGAUGGAAAGUUCAUAACGAGUAGUAGUUUUAAAGCAAUCUCUCACCAGGAUCAACUCGGGUGUUUGCAUCAGUAAUCCAGAAAUAUUUUAUCUUGAUAACGAGCUGAGGCUCAGCCUACCCACUCUCAUCAAUGGUGUGACUCAUCUUAAGAUUAUUCAUAAAACUCUCCAAUACAUUUUAAAAAAAUACCUCAGUAUUUAUUAUGCAAUGAAAAAAAUCUUCAGAUUAGUUCUUAAUGUUUGAAAUUAUCAUGCAAUUCCUAAUCCUAAGUUCCUAAAUUUACUAAUGCAAUUCCUAAUCCUAAGUUCCUAAAUUUACUUAUGCAAUUCCUUCCUAAGUUCCUAAAUUUACUCACGCAAUUCCUAAUCCUAAGUUUCUAAUUAACAUCAUAGCUAAUGCUGGUACGCAGACGCAGCAGCUCAUGCAACGAGGCCGACAUACUCGAGCUCCACGGAGCCUAACCAGAGCUUCCCCUUCAUCUCCGCCACGUCGCUCAGCGUGACGCCCUUGGCCGCCGUGAGCUCCUCGACUUCCGCCCCGUCAGCGUUCAGGCGGACGCCCACCAGGUGCUUCACGGGAGCCGUCGCCGGCGUCGCGUCCAGCCGCUGCUUCUCCUGGUUCAGCGCCACCCAGUAGCCACCAUUGCCGUCCCGCCUCACGUUGUCGGGGUACCCCGGCAGGUCGGCCAGCAGGUCGUACUGCCCCGCCCUGGCGCCGCUGAGAAAGUACCUGAACGCCUGGCAGGGCACGGUGUGCGCGACCACGACGUGUGCCCCGUCGCGGCGGACCGCCACGCCGUUCGGGUACGGCAGGCCGGCCUUCAGCACGGCGACGCUCUUGGUCCGCGCGUCGUACCUGAGGAGCCGGCCCGUCGCGUCCGCGUUCAUCAUGAUCUCGGUGUUAAACUUCCUGGGAUACGUCGCGCUGGAGUCGGUGAAGUAGACGUCUCCGGUGGACUGGUCGACGUCGAGACCGUUGAUGAAGUGGAACGGGGCGCCGCCCGCGCCGGUCGCGAGCACCUCGGCCUCGCCGCCGCCCGGACCGACCCUCAUGAGCCCCAGGUAGGCGUCGGCGAUGUAGAGGUCGCCGGUCUUGGUGUGGAACUGGAGGCCCAGCGGGCGGCCGCACAUGCUCUCGGUCUCCUCCGACGGCACCACUCCCGCCGUGCACAGGGGUAUCUUGCGGUAGUUUACGCUGUGCGCGAACGUAGUCCAGCCGACGGUUGUGCCGCCCCACUUGAGGACGCGGCCGUCCGAGACACCGGCGUAGGGCCCCUCGCCCUUGCCGUCGAAGGCGAGGCUCUCGGCGCCGCGGAGGCCGCUUGGUAAAGGAAGCUGGAAGCUCCAGCGCGUGUCGGUGGUCUUGAUCUGUGCGGCGGCACACGGCCGGGCGAAAAGGGCUAGGGCUAGCACGACCAAGGCGAGGAGCCACGUCGCUAGAUUGCUCCGACGCCCCAUGCUGCUAGCUAUAUCUUCCUCGCGAUCUUUCUAAUGUGCGAGAUGGAACCUGCAGCCCCUACCUUUGGAUGGAGAACAACCCUCCAUAUGGCAUUACAUAUACUAGAUCAGGGGGCGUCCUUUGGGACGCCCUAUCCAAUACAAAGGAAACAAAACAGAAAAUGGUAAGGAUUUGAUAUUAGUGCUUGAAAGCUUGAGUGCAAAACAGACAGAGGAAUAAAGCAGCGAUUAAAGUUGCAGUUGUUCUCUAAAUUAUUAUUAUUAGAAUGUCAUUCAAUUCCAAUAUUCCAUGUGUCAUGUUCCUUCCACCAAAAAGAAAUUGGCAUAUGAAUUCAUUGUAUUUCACAACCAUUUAACUACAAUAAGUGAAUCACUGCAAUUAAUUUGUGACUUAAUGGUUGGGUCACCUUACUAUGAAGCAAUAGCUUGACCUCUCUCAUUGCGUUGUAAAAGAAUCCUUCAUUGGCAAAAUCACUGUUGGAGGAUGAUUUUUUUUCUUAGUUCAUAGUUGCAUUUAAGCACUAAGUCUGAUGUGCUGUCGAGAGAAUGCUAUGACAACACUUAGCUUGCACUUUGAAUCAAACAAAACUGAUAUUGAGGGAUUACAUGGUCUUCUGGGUUUAGCUGCAAGUUCAUGACAACUAUUUAUAAAGAAAACUGAACUAAUGCCAUAUAAAUGCAUUUUAAAUCUAUACAAUGCUAGUAACAUACAACUUUUUUUGCUAGCUUCAAGACCGUUUGGAUCUCUCAUUAAAUCAUGCAGUGCCUAGUUGUCAUGUUAUUAUUUUCACUAUUGCAUUCUUAUGUUUAGUAAUUCUAUCGGAGCCUCUACUGUAUGUGUGAAGGUGGAAACCUGAGGAAGCUUUUGUAUGAACACUAUCAAACUAAUAGGGGCAGAGGUAUCACGCAACAGAGUAACAAUCUGCAGUAACAAAUAGCACAAAGAAUAUUAUCCUCUUCUACUAAAGGCAGAACAUGAUGGACUCAUGAAUAUUGAUCACCAUCCCAAACUUGUAAGUAAAACUGCACAGGGACAAGUCUGUGAUUGCCAUGAACAGAAUUGUCCUUGGCAGCAUGGAGUCUGGCAAUCACAGACGGAAGGGUUGCAGAAAACCCAGGAACGUGACCAAAUAUCCAGAUUAACUCCUUUUCAAUAAGAUACAAGGCUGAUUGUUGCACAGGGACACGAUAAAUAGUGUCUGCGAUAGAAGGAAAAAUGAUGCAUGUUAGACCACUAUUGGAGUCAAAACCACCUGACAAAAAACAAAAAGACUCAAAAAUUCAGGAAGUCAGGUUUGUUACAACCCAAUCUAAUCUAAUCUACUAUUUCUACGGUCCUAUCACGACUACUCGGACUUUUAGUUCAGGAACAAACGACUUUACAACUUUAUAGCUAAAUAUAAGUUGCUCAUAUUUUGUUUGUCCAUUUAAAUUGAGUUGAAAUUCAAAACCCAAAUUGUAAUUUGAAGUUUCAAAAUAAAAUAGGAAAAUAAAAAGCAAGCAGGAAAUAAAAUGAAAAGAAGAAGAAUAAACUUACCUGUUACUAGUUACUACCUGGGUCAGUUCUAUCGUCGGCCCAUUAACCACUCACGCCUGCACAACCGAUCUCGUCUCCCUCGGGUGUUAGCACCGGUGCAACCGAUACAGGGACCCCACUGGUCGGGCUCUCAGUCGCACGGAUGUCUCUAAUCAGUUACUGGAGGCUGGGCCAGCUCGCUCAGUAACGGAAAGCCUCGUACUUGUUGCGUGGAUAUUCAGAAAGAAUAGUGUCUAAAUUUAAACCAAUAGUAGAUGUGUACUCUGUAGUAGGAUUGAAUUGUCGGAUAUGUACAUUUCAUCAUUCUUCUAUUUUCGUGAAACAUGUCACUUCCUAAUCUCUUUGCUAUGCAAAUGCGCAAGAACACUCUGCAUACUAAAUACUUUGGCUGACACACCAUGUGCUCGUUCCUUGCUUUCGAUCAGCGCAGGAGUAACACACCUAAUUAUAUAUAUGUUUAAGAGAUCCUGAAUAAUUAUUUUCGAACAAUGAAAAGAGACUGCAUGGAAAUUUUACUAUUAAUAAGCUGACCUUUGUAAGGUUCUGCAUCACCAAGUAACAAAUACAUCUAUCGCUCACGCGCAGCGAUUUCUGCUUGGCUAGAGCCACGAGCUGAUGUGAACUACGCAAUCUGGGAUUUCUCUGCCACAAUUUUUUCGCCUGUCAGAUUUUGAAGCACUUCUUUGAGCUCAAUAUGUAUCGAGUCUUACAGAACAGGUACAAAUUUGAGUUCGCCAGCCUGUAGGCAAGGCGACCUUGACCCCUUUGGAUGUCAGGAGUUAUUCCAGUUAAAUGCUUAUUCUCAUAUGCUUCAACGCACACAUACUCACAUGUAUAAUUUAUAAGCUUCUAUGAACAUGCACAUGCAUGAUCAACAUCUUCGAAAACUGGGUCGAUAAUUUUUUAAGAUGGAAUUAAUGAAGUUAUUAUAGACGUCUCGCUGUCGAUAAUAGUAUCGUUUAUCACUAUAAGCGUAAAAACCGUUAGAUCAUGAUAUAUUCGCUUAUAGAGUGAAUUGAAUUUUCGGAGGGUCAGAUUAGGAUGUACCGGCUCUUUCGCUGCUGCGUGCUGCCACUUUUGGUUGUUCACGCUCUCACGCAACACAUGAUUAGGAAAGGCCCCUCUCUACGACCCACGUAUCAACAACAAGCUCUACCAUAUGCAUGACAUUUGUGCUAUUUAGAACCACACCGCUGGCUCACAUGAGAAGACACCAGCUUAAAAAUCUAUUCCUCAGUGCCACACUCGCCGAGCAGCUAGCGUCUGCUUGUAACCCGAGCGGGGGCAAUAAAGUGGUGUGGAUGCCAAUUGUGGCGCUUGGACCCGUUCCUGGUACUGCAAUCUGCGGCCCGCCCGUUCCAAGUUGGUAGUUGGGUUGUGACCGCUUUGGCGAAGGCCAUGGCGUCCCAACCUCUAGAGCGACGGGCAAUGCGUGAGGCUGGUUUCACAGAGCAGCGAAUACCAUCCGCUUCCAACGGUGGAAGGAUAACGGGCCACUGCACUCCAGGCCCACCUAGGCUCAAGCACUCUUUCUGGCAGACCACCAUUUUUGUUUUUUGGCUUGUCUUGCACACCUACUCGUUUGCCACUGCAGCCCAUUUGUCCAACCUGCAGCGUCUAGCAACAACCAUCAUCAAUCGAUUAUGUAGCCGAUUUGAACCUCUAGGCACUGGUCCUCUGGACGUUCGAUACAUUCCACAUGUAACAUGUUCUUGCCAUUUUGUACAUACUAGUGUGUUCUGGUUGAGUUUACAGUGUCUGCAGUAAGCCAAUUCUUUUGAAUCAAAAGCCAUUAAACGCUCUAGAAGAUGAAGAGCCAAAGGAUAGGAACUUGUAAAGCUCAAGUAUCUACUGUCCUCAUUUUGAAUCUACAGAUAUCUUAGACAACAUCAUGGGGCAGAUGGGGAGGGAAACACACCUAACAACAUUGCUUGGCUCCAUGCCCACACAUCGACAACAUGGCACGAGUGGGGAAGAAACCGGGGCUCUGGUAUGGUCAUGCGUUGCUAAGGGGGUAGGUAUUUUAGCGUCAUAGUGUACCAACCUGCCUGGUAGCUCGCAUUGCUCAUGGCGGCUGUCGCGGGCCUCCACGUUUGUUGCCCCGGUAUGGGAGGAUGGGUGAAGGCGGCACACAGAGAGGUAUGUGAUGGGCAGAAUGGCGCUGAGGACGUCGCACGUGGUCCCCUCGAAUCCCUCGGACGGACGACAACAUUUGAGGAGAGCAAGUGAGGUGGGGCCUGGGGGGUGGCGGGUGACGACGUUUGAGCGGCGUGGAGAUGGAAGCCGCUUACCUGGACUGCGGGAUCACGAUUCAAAAGCGCUGGCGGCUGUCGCUAGAGCCGGGGGAGGGGGGAGGGGGCAGGACACGACGCCAGGAGCCCCUCACAGAGCGUGGGCUAGAGGAAGAGAGACAGAGGAUGAAGAGAGAAAGCGAGGGCAAGCGAGGAGAGCAGCCUGGAAAUCUCUAAAGGUGAUAAAAACCACGGGUGCACGGGAGAGAAUGCGGGGAAAAUGAACCAACGAUCCACAAUCGAACGACUAAGAAUUUUUUGGGUGACGUAGAUGGGCUCAUAGGCGUCGUUUCCAUCAGGCUUUAAUAAUAAGGAAAUACAACCGAACAAGUUGGUUACGAUCAGGGACCGACCAUUACAAUCGUAGGCAUCUCCUCUUGGCUAUAUAACCUGAGCACCCCCUCCUCAUCCAUCUUGUGCCAACGCCAAGGAGUCAAAUGUCGCAAUGACCCAAGGAGUUGAGAGUGCCACCGUGAACCGAGUGCCGAACGAGAGGGAGAGAAGGUCCACGCCGCAGUUUCGGAUCUACACUGUCUCUCGGGUGGUGUGCGUGGCUAGCCCAGACGGGAGGAGUGGUCGGAGAGCAAGAAGAGUCGUCACCAGAGUCACAAAUAGAGGUUCCUACUUUUCAUCCCUAACUUCCCUAACCUAGGUCAGUUCUACCGCCGGCCCAUUAACCUCUGAUGCCUGCACAACCGAUCUCACAUCCCUCGCGUGUUAGAACCGGUGCAACCAAUAGACAGGCCCCACUGGUUGGACUCUCAGUCGCGCGGAUGUCUCUAAUCAGUCACUGGAGGGUGGGCCAGCUCGCUCAGUAACGGCCUCACACGCAGCACGCGGGUCACAACCUAUCGGACGCUUCUCUCUCCUGUUGUUCAAGGACAUGUAUAAAUACAUAUGUAUUGAGCUAUAAAGAUUACACACAGUUCACAUUUUCACUUUCACCAGUUUACUUUCACUAGUUUACUUUCACACGUCAUCGGCACUUGCUUUCACCAAAUAGGAGAAAAGGCCAAAGAGGACAACCAUGAAGAACAAGGCAAGAACACCGGCAACUAUCGGGUACGUGAUGAUCUACAAAGAUCUUUAUGUUGCCCUUCUUACCUUCAUCCUUCGAUUUUUGAAUAGUGGCCAUCGUCGCCGGCGAGGUGCUGACCCUAUCGCACGUCGCCUUCUAUAUGCUGCGCAUCGACAUGGAUGCCGCCAUGCCAAGAAGCGCCGCAAGAAGGACGCCCGGACCACACUUGACCCUGAGCAUGUCCGCCGGACCGGUGGUGAUCCUGGCGCUGGACCCAGCAACACUGCGGCAACUGCGGCAUCGCCGCAGCCAGCGCCACAUCAAGACCGAUGGGUGCGUCCUCCAUCGCCUUCGCUGGAGCGGGUUGCAGAGCGGUUGCGUGAGUCUGAGACCCAACAACCGCUCCGUCCGAUGCGGUACUGCCCCCUCCAUGGAUGGGGGUCGUGCCCAGCUCGCCAACCAUGAGCUUCUCCACCGGAUGCAAACACCCCCGCUACCGGUGUUUGAUCGAGCGGGCUGCUCGUCCAGGUCGCCUCUCCAGCGCGCCCUCAUGCCCGGACACGGCUCACUACACGAAAGUCGACCGGCCCUCGCUGUCGUCCCGUCGGUCAGAUCGCAUCAACGACUGUGGCAAACAUCAUUGUCGACGACUCCUCUUCUUCAUCUGACGAAGACAAGCAGAUGCACUUGAUCCUCGACGGAGUACCGGCGAGGCUGCCUAGCCCGACCCUCGACGCCGGCACCUCGGGAACAACGUCACCGCCGACACUCUUGAGCCCAAGUGGCAAUCGGGUCAUCCAUCGGCUGGAAAACCACCUCUCCCCUCGGCCUCGCGUACCGGGGUCAUGGUCUGCAACUGCAAGAUCCUCGGACGACAACAUUGGGCGCGAGCGCUCACGCUCGCCCCCUCGCCAUCUUCCCUUAUGUGCGGGCUCGAUGUCCGGCUUUGGCACGGCAAGGCCACGACGCGCUCGGCUCCUGCGUGGCGGACGCGGCCUCGCCCGGCCACGACGGCUUCAGGAGCAGGUCCAAGGUGGCUACCAGCUACCAGUUGGAGCCACGGGCGCUCGACGGCUGGCGGCGGCCCAUGGCGGCGGCUGUUGGCGGCGGUUAGGGUUUGACCCUUUAGAAAAACCAUGCACGCCUCAGGCUAGCCAGCAGGCCCAUGUGCCAGCACGCCUCAGCUUGGGCCAGCCAGCAGGCCCAUGUGCCAGCACGCCUACGCCAUAGUUAUCCAUUUUCAUUUUUAUUUUAGCUAUUUUCAGUUUUCUAAAUCCAAGCGAACUCUAGAUUGCUUUAGUAAAUGAUGUUAGAAAUUUGAGAUUCGAUUCUUAAAAUUCUUCAGUAGCAGCUUGUGUCAUGAAUUUUUCCAAUGUUUUAGUACUUGGAAAUGAUUUCAAUAAAUAUUUUCUUUAAAUAUGAAAUUUAUUGUCAUGUGUUCUAUUAUGCAUUCCUUAAAAUGCAAACUAAAAAACAUAUUCAUUUCAAUUAUACCCAUAGUGGUUUAAUACGAGCAGAAUUAAUUUUUUGAUAGAACAUAAAGAAUAAUCAAUAUUCAUCUCAAUUAAGUUAUUCAAAACUUAAUACUAGCAAGAAUAUGUAUUUAUUCGAUUCCGUACGCAAUUGAUGCUACCCAUAUAUUCAUCUUAUUAAGUUACUAAUAGUACAUAAUUUCAUCUGAAAAUUUUAUAUUAGAUAUACUACAUCAUUAACAUCAUAAUGAAAUUUUCGAUCUCUUGCAUCACUUUGCAAUUGAGACCUUAAACUAUGAUUCAUCUAUGCAAUAUCGCAUUGUAUUGCAUAUUAUUCAUCUCAAUUGGGUUUUCUCUUAAAUCCAAUACGAGCAAGAAUAGAUAUAUGUUUUGAACACCACACAUAUUACAACACACCCAUGAUGAUUUAUUAAUGAAAUUCUCUGGUUGCUUGUGUAGGAUCAUGGCCCGCGAGUUCAAAGAACUUGCUCUUGAUGGACACAACUAUCCUACUUGGGCGUUGGAUAUCAAGAUUAGCUUAGCCUCAAAGAAUAUUCUGAGUGCAUUACUCCCUCCCAACGAGAGGGUUGAACCACUACAUGAUGCUUAUAAGUACAACACUUUGUACAUUAUAAGACAUCACCUCCAUCCUGAUCUACUUCAAGCAGAAAAUCAUGAUGAGCUUAUGAUAAAAAAAUCAUAAGCAAUAUCGUGUUGGAGCUGCUCCUAUGCCAGAAAACCAUCCCAAGAACUCUGAUAAUUCAAAGAAGCGCAAACGCAACAAGCGUACGAAUAAGAAAAAUACAAAGGCUCCGAGGAAAGACACCCCCACUUCCAAGCAAGAGAAGUGUAAGAAGUGUGGAUGCUUGAACCAUCCUACUAAAAAGUGUUUCAUUCCUUGUCAUUUAGUGGCACUGUACCAGCAAUCUCUUAAGGGAAAAAAUGUUGAAGGACAGGGAUAUGAAGCUCACUUCACCACCCCACCUAACUUGAAGGAUGGAGCUGGUUGCUCAAGCAUGGCUACAAUGGAACCAAGCACGACCAACCCUCCGCUUCUGACCAACACCGAAUACAUGAACUUGGACAAUGCCAUCAUCGAAUAUGCUUCGAGUGAUGUGUUUGGAUACCUUUACUAGGAUCCUCAUGCUUCUACCAGAUAUCAUCUAUUUGUAAGUCUAUGAGUGUGUGCAACAAGUGUGUUGUAAUAAGUACCUAGACCUUGGAAUUUGUGUGUAUAUUCCAUACUCUACUGUAUAAUUAUGUAUGUACUUAUAUGUAUAAUGAAGUGUCCCAAUCCUCUGGGACUCAAAUGCGAUACAAUUACUAGUCCCAGGAGGCUAGUAAACACAUUUAUAUAUCAGAUGAUUCCAGAUCUGCUUAAACAAGACAAACCUAUAAAGGUGGCGAUCAACUUUAAGAGUUGGUCCACAACUCGGGACAUAUCAUCAGAGUGGGGCUAAAGCAGCCCGAUAUACGCAGCGAAGCAAAUCAGCGGUCCAACAGCCACAUGCAAGGCUGGGAACAGGCGUAACUCUUACCCGAUCAGCGAUCUCGUUCUCUGAAAAACAACAAAUAAGCAAGAGUGAGUACUUACGUACCCAACAGCCCACCUUCCCCCAUGGAAUGGAGAAAUCAGAUAUAAUGCAUGGAGUAUGUGGAGCUCAGGAUAUUUUGCAGAAAGAGCAAUAUUUGAUGCAGGGUUAUUUUGUAAAACAUUUUAUAUUUUUUAAAAGCACGUCCUCUCCCAAAGGAGCAGGAAGUUUUUCAAUAUAGAACAAAAUCCCCUGGACUAAACCAUCCAGGUAUCUCAGCAGUUUCCCACUGGUUUUCAUUUUCAAAAAUAGCUACUGGACUUCCCGUCCACCAUAGCUCACGGCUCAACCGUCGGAACUUUUAAAAACCACUUUUCAAAAGCAUUUUUGGAAAACAAAACACUAAUUGUCAAAUCCAUGCCAUAACUCAUUCAUAUCUGUGGACGCGGACUAUUUGAAUAGGUUUUUAACUCUGCGCAGAGGUGUACACUUUACCCACUAGUCCGGUUUCUGCAAUCUCACCGUUGUGAGAUCCAAAUGCCGAAACUCUCUCCUUCCUUGCACGUCCAUACCUUAGCGAUUAUACCAGAAGGAACAAGGCCACCGCCAUGUCCAAACCGGACAAAACAUUCCCCUUUCUUAUCCUCCCGGUGCUCCCCAGCCGUCAUAACCCUGGGGUUCGGACCGUGCAAGUUCAGAUCAAGCGACUGCCCAUACAGUAUCGAGUGGUUAUACUUGAUAAGAGUAUAGGUAAGCAGUGAUGACAAACCGGUCCUCAGGCGAGAGGGACAAUCCUUCAUGCUCACACCUAACCUGGCUGUGCCAUCACCUUAGGCCCUCCCCUAAACCAGGGAGUCUCUGAUCAUCCCGCUCAAGGGUGAUAAGGGUGACAAACCUUCAUCAUAUCCAUUUUGAAAAACAUUUUCUUUUGAAAACUCACACCUUUUCUCAAAUCAUUUGUAACAAAAAUAUCAAGGAGUAUAAAGAUUAAUUGCGGCAAAGUUCUAAGGCAGGGUGGCCAUAAUAACUUGUCUCUUAACAGCAAAAUCAUAUCAUGCAUAAAAUAACAGGCUGAGGGUUGUGGUUGAAAAGCAUAGGUAAUUUAUGCAUCAAAGGGAUCCAGUGAGCUUGCAGUGCUUAACCGGCGAAAGGGUGAGAGCUCGCGGAACUGGCUUCUGGCUCCACCGUUUGUCGUAGGCUUACAGAUCUGGCCUUCACGAGACAGCACAAACGCUCCAAUAACUAUGCAGCAUGAACAAGAAAACAUACAAACCAACAAUUAUAACAACAAAUAUUUAGUAUAGUGGUCAGAAUGGCAAUAUAUGGAUGGGUAGAGUCUUGAGCAGAAUCUAUGUCAUGUGGUGUUGUGAUAUUACUGGUGGUGGAGUGGAGGUGCUUACCAGGAGGGUGGAUUGGAGGCAAAGCGACACUAUGCGUGCAGCCGGCAGAGCGGAGUAACUGAGUGGGUGGGGUGUUUGCCUUGGUUGAGGGUGUUGAGUGUGUGGAGAGGGAGAGGGUAAGUAGGUCUAUUUAUAGCUGGGUGUAUAUGGUGUAGUACAGUAAAUUUCACUGUUGGUGAGAAUAGUGACGAAUGAAUCGUCUGAGUUAGUCUGAACAGAAAAAUUAUAGGGAGAAUAUGGGACAAGAGUAUUUUGAGAGUUUUCUAGAAUAUGAACCAUGCUUCAGGGAUGACAUGGUUGGAUAGGGAAUAAUUUGAUAAGAAUUUAGAAACAAGAAUUAUUGGAAUCUGAGUUUGGAAUCCUGGUUCGAAAGAAUCUCAAAGUUAAGCGUGCUCAACUUAGAGAAAUCUAGGAUGGGUGACCAGAUGGAAAGUUCUUAAUAGAAGGAAAAUCAUAGUCACCGGAGUUUGUAUGACUGGAAUAUUGGUUUGGCAGGUCUUAGGUGAGCUGGACAACAUGAUGGAUGAGCAGUUGAAUAUUUGGGUGAUAGGAUGGGCGAUGAAUAGUAACGAUGAAUAGUAAGGAAGAAAUAGUAACAAUGAGCAGUAACGAAGAAAUAGUAACAAUGAAUAGUAACGAUGAAUAGUCCAUAUGAACAGACGAUGAACGAUGAAUAGUGACUAUGAACGAAUGACGAACGAUGAAUAGGGACUACGAACGAACGAUGAACGAUGAAUAGGGACUAUGAACGAACGGACGAAUGAUCGAAUGAUCGGACGAACGAACGAUCGGAAUUUCGGCAGCAUAACGGCUGAACAAAGAUUAUUUGGAUGAACGAACGGAUGAACGAUCGAUCGAACAAACGAACGAACCAUGAACGAUCGGACGAACGAACGAACAAACUAAGAACAGGUGGACGAACGAUCGAACGAUCCUUGUGCUUGUGUGGGAGUGGGAAUGGGGGGAGAGUUGCCAUGAAAUGGCUUGGUAUGGCUUGAGGGGAGGCCCUUGCCCCUCUAUUUAUAUGCUAGGUGGGGGAUGAGGGGGAGGAGGCGAGGAUUAGUGGGAGGAUGCGAGGAUUAGUGGGAGAUAAGCAUGUAUUAGGCAUGUAUAAGUGAAAUUAGCUUGUAGAGCUCACCGUAUGGCACCGGAGGCGUACGUAUACGUAUGAGCAUGAGGAAAAUUAUGAAAAAAAUAUUUGCAGGGACUGUAAAAAUGAUUCUGAAGGUAUUUCUCAGGAGGAAAAUAUUUGAAGAAUUUUCGGUGGAAUAUUUGGCAGUAUUUCUGGAAAGAAUUUGAGGGGGAUCACUCGGGAAAUAUUUGUAGGAUAUUUUGAGGAGGAUUUUGGAGAGAAUAUAGACCACUAUUUUUUAUUUGUUGAUAUCAACUCGCAAACAAACAUUUUGAAAUGAAAUUUAAAAUUCAUUUUGAAUUUAGAGCAAGUUUGAGAAAUUUUAAGAUUUGAAUUUUUGGGUGCUACAUAUAAUUAAUUGAGUUCUCGCAAUUCUUGAUUAUAUAGAUUAUGCGGAAGUCAAUCCAAUGGAGGAAGAAUUAUGCCUUGUAGAUAGUGGUACCACCAACUCUAUUCUUCGCGAAACAAAAUAUUUCCAAACUCUCACAAGGAGGCCAUGAAAUGUUUUGGCAAUCGCUGGGCGCGAUGCGAAAAUAGUUGGCUCUGAACGAGCGACUAUUACACUCCCUAUGGGUACACAAGUCACUAUCGAGUAUGCUUUAUUGUACCCCGAUUCAACUCGUACCCUUCUGAGUUUUCGAUAUAUUCAGAAAAGUGGUUUACAUAUUUCUACUCAUACAGAAAAUAAUGAGGAAUUUCUCGUCAUUUCCAAACCUUCUGAAUAUGGCGCUAACAUUCUGGAAAGAAUACCUUCACUACCAUCCGGAUUGUACUACACAUACAUAAAACUAGUACCUCAUGUUACGUACAACGUGAUUUUUCAGAAUAUCGAUUCAUUCAAGUCCUGACAUGCACGUCUUGGUCACCCUGGAAUAGAGAUGAUGCAGAAAAUCACAGGUAAUUGCAUUGUUCAUGAUUUAAAGUGUGCUAAAUUCCCUAAACCAUUUGAUUUUAUAUGUACAUCAUGUGCAACGGGAAAGCUAAUCUUAAGACCAUCUCCUCUUGAGAUUCAUGCUGAACCACUCAAGUUCCUUGAACGAAUUCAAGGUGACAUUUGUGGACCCAUACAACCAUUAUCUGGACCGUUUAGAUACUUCAUGGUAUUAAUAGACACAUCUACACGAUGGUCACAUGUGUGCCUUCUGUCUACACGUAACCAUGCUUUUGCUAAAAUCAUGACGCAAGUCAUUCGAUUGAAAGCACAUUAUCCUGAACAUCAAAUCCAGAAAAUCCACCUAGAUAAUGCGGCUGAAUUCUCUUCUAAAGCAUUCAAUGAUUAUAGUAUGGCCCAGGGAAUACACAUUAAACAUUAUGUGCCUUAUGUACAUACUCAAAAUGGUUUAGCUAAAUCUCUUAUUAAGAGGAUCAAACUCAUCGCAAGACCUUUACUUCAUGAAUGCAAUUUACCUACUUCUUGUUGGGGUCAUGCCGUUUUACACGCUGCUGAUCUUAUUCAACUUCGCCCAACUGCAUAUCAUACCACAUCCCUGUUGCACCUAGUACGAGGAAAUCCUCCAAAUAUAUCCCAUCAACGGAAAUUUGGAUGUGUGGGUUACACCCCUGUAUCACCACCUCAGCGAACAGCUAUGGGACCUCAUAGGAAAUUAGGCAUCUAUGUGGGAUAUCAAUCCCCAUCGAUCAUCAAAUACCUAGAGCCCCUUACAGGGGAUUUGUACACAGCUCGUUUCGCUGAUUGCAUCUAACGAGGACCAUUCUCGGCAUUAGGGGGAGAAUUCAAGUAUACUAAUGAACGCCAGGAAAUCAAUUGGGAUGACAAAUCCAUCCUGUCCACAGAUCCUCGAACCCAGGAAUCUAAACUUGAAGUUCAGAAAAUUAUAGAAUUGCAACAUUUUGCUAGUAAUCUGCCUGAUGCAUUUACUGACUAUAAUGGUGUCACAAAAUCCUUGAAUCCUGCUGUUAAUGCGCCUAGUCGAGUGGAGGUACCAAGAAAAACCAUUCAACCAUCUUCUCAACCGAAGAGGGGGAGGGCUGCUAAGCAGGAUAAUGCUUCUACUAAGCGUCAAAGGAAAGAGAGGAACAUACAAUCCUCCAAAUCAGUAAAUGAAAGUCAACCACCAGUUGAUGGACAUCGAGUGGAUACUGUACAUCCACAAACCAGCACUCAUGUGCACAAUUCAGAUGUUGCUGGUACAUCGGAACACCACGUAUCUACUCUUCAUGUGAAUCAAGAAGACUUUCAUGGGGUACAAGAGAUUUCCAUUAAUUAUACUAGUUCUGGAGAAUUGUAUGAUCGUAAAAAUACAGUCGUCAAUUCAUGUUUCUCAUAAAUCAUAGCUGGUAACCUUCUAUCUGACCUAGAUCCUAAAUCCAUGGCAGAGUGUCAACAACGCUCGGACUGGACCAAAUGGAAGGAAGCAAUUAACUCUGAAUUAUCCUCACUAUCAAAAAGAAAGGUAUUCACCUCUGUGAUACCUACACCUCCCAGAAUCCAUCCUGUUGGAUUCAAAUGGGUUUUCACACGGAAACAGAAUGAGAACAAUGAGGUUGUGAGAUAUAAAGUGAGAUUAGUUGCUCAAGGGUUUACCCAAAGACCAGACAUUGACUACAAUGAGACAUAUUCUCCUGUUAUCAAUGGAAUAACCUUCCGGUAUUUAAUUUCAUUGGCAGUACAAAAACGUCUACUUCUGCAGUUGAUGGACGUUGUGACCGCAUAUCUUUAUGGGUCACUAGAUUCGGACAUAUACAUGAAAGUUCCAGAUGGAAUACCUGUACCGAAUAAUGGCAAAAAUCGUAACAUGUUUUGUGUUAAACUCAUCAAAUCCCUAUAUGGCUUAAAACGGUCAGGGAGAAUGUGGUACAACCAACUGAAGGAAUUCCUUAUGAAUAAGGGUUAUUCUAACAGUGAUGGUUGUCCAUGUGUCUUCAUAAAGAAAUCUUCUACACGUUUCUGCAUCAUAUCAGUAUAUGUGGAUGACUUGAACAUCAUCGGCCAUAAACGUGAUAUUGAUGAGGCACACAAUCUUUUAAAGACGGAAUUUGAGAUGAAGGUUUUGGGUAAAACCAAAUUUUGCUUAGGUUUGCAACUUGAGCACCUUCCCACGGGCAUUCUCAUUCAUCAGUCUACUUAUGCCCAGAAAGGGAUAAGGAUCCUUUUCGACCAUGAGAUGAAGGAGAAGAGAUUUUGGGUCCUGAGUACCCAUAUCUUAGUGCGAUUGGAACACUUAUGUAUCUAGCAAACAAUACAAGACUCGAUAUUGCUUUUGCGGUAAAUUUACUUGCUAGACAUAGUGCAUCCCCUACCAAACGUCAUUGGACUGGAAUAAAAAUUGUUCUUCGAUACCUUCAUGGCACGGCAGAUCUCAGUCUAUUCUACGGAAGAAAUCAAGAUCCUAGCCUCGUAGGGUACAUAGAUGUUGGUUAUCUUUCAGACCCCCACAAUGGAAGGUCUCAAACUGGGUUUGCAUUUCUAAAUGGUGGAACUGCUAUUUCUUGGAAGUCAUCCAAGAAAACUCUAGUAACAACAUCCACUAAUCACUCAUAGAUUAUUGCCUUGUAUGAAGCUUCACGUGAAUGUGGCUGGCUUCGAAGGGUGAUUAAUCACAUUCAAUCAUCAUGUGGGAUUCAUUCCAUUGAAUCACCCACCAUUAUCUAUGAAGAUAAUGCAGCUUGUGUUGCUCAGAUGCAACAAGGUUAUAUCAAGAGCAAUGUUACCAAACAUAUAUCUCCCAAGUUAUUCUAUCCUCAUCAACUUAUUGCUCCCAACCGUGGACUCCAAGGGACGUGCCCCUUGCACGUUCUCUUCAUGGUGUCGGGUGUGACCCCACGAAGGAACAGACGACGCAUGGUCUGCAUGGCUCCAAGGGACGUGGCCCUAGCACGUUCGCACGCAUGCUUUCUCUGGUGUAUGGGCGAAGGGUCACAUCCUAUCAGACGCUUCUCUCUUCCGUUGUUCAAGGACAUGUAUAAUACAUAUGUAUUGAGCAAUAAAGAUUACACAUGGUUCUCAUUUUCACUUUCACCAGUUUACUUUCACCAGUUUACUUUGACAAAGUUCACUAACAAGUAUGUGAAGGUGAAAGGGAAAUGUGUCCUUGGGCCAUUUCUAAGUAUUUUGGUGAUUUAGUGUCCAACACAAGUGCCUAAGUAUAAAAUGGUGAACAAAGUACAAAUCAAGGAUAAAGGUAUGUUUCUCAGACUUAGUACAUUGUUUUAGAUACUAAUGUAUAGUGUCUAAGUGCUGGAAACAGGAAAAUCGAAUUGGAAAUGAGAUGGCUUUGUUCAGCCAAAGUAUGCUCAGUCUGGGAGCACCGGACUGUCCGGUGGUGCACCGGACAGUGUCCGGUGCGCCAGGCUGGCUCGAGUGAACUGGCCGCUCUCGGGAAUUCACCGGCGACGUACGGCUAUAAUUCACCGGACUGUCCGGUGUGCACCGGACUGUCCGGUGAGCCAACGGUCGGCCGGGCCAACGGUCGGCCGCGCGAUCUGCGCGGGACACGUGGCCGAGCCAACGGCUAGAAGGGGGCACCGGACUGUCCGGUGUGCACCGGACAUGUCCGGUGCGCCAACGGCUCUCUGGCUGCCAACGGUCGGCUGCGCCAGUUAAGGAAAGAAAUCGGGCACCGGACAGUGUCCGGUGUGCACCGGACUGUCCGGUGCGCCACGCGACAGAAGGCAAGAAUUGCCUUCCCAGAUUGCUCUCAACGGCUCCUAGCUGCCUUGGGGCUAUAAAAGAGACCCCUAGGCGCAUGGAGGAGCACACCAAGCAUUCUAAAAGCAUUCCUAAGCACUAAGACAUCGAUUCCGCGCCUUUGAUUCUUUGCGAUAGCAAUUAGAGCUCUAGUUGAGUUGUGAACUCAUUGAGUUGUGUUGUGAGCUCUUGUUGCGACUUGUGUGCGUAGCGUUGCUGUGAUUUCUUGUCUUGAGUGUGUUGCUUAUCACUCCCUUACUCCGUGCUUCUUUGUGAACUUCAAGUGUAAGGGCGAGAGGCUCCAAAGUGUGGAGAUUCCUCGCAAACGGGAUAUAGUAAAGCAAGCAAAACACCGUGGUAUUCAAGUGGGUCUUUGGACCGCUUGAGAGGGGUUGAUUGCAACCCUCGUCCGUUGGGACGCCACAACGUGGAGUAGGCAAGCGUUGGUCUUGGCCGAACCACGGGAUAACCAUCGUGCCAUCUCUGUGAUUGAUAUCUUUGUGGUUAUUGUGUUUUGUUGAGACUCCUCUCUAGCCACUUGGUGAUUAUUGUGCUAACACUUAACCAAGUUUUGUGGCUUAAGUUUUAAGUUUUACAGGAUCACCUAUUCACCCCCCUCUAGGUGCUCUCAAUUGGUAUCAGAGCCGUUCUCUUCAAGAAGGGACUAAUCGCCCGAAGAGAUGGAUCCUAAGGGAAAGGGGAUGGUGGUCAACAACAACGAGAAGGAGUCUAUCUUCAACGAGCCAAAGGAUGACAAGCCUACCGACUCGGGCUCCAGCCACAAGCGCAAAGACGGGAAGAAGAAGAAGACAAGGUGCAUCAAGGAGAUCGUCUACUACGACAGCGACGAAUCUUCCUCUUCCCAAAAGGACGACGACGACUACGAGAAAAAGAAAACGGUCAAUUCGAACUUUUCUUUUGAUUACUCUCGUAUUCCUCAAAGUACAAAUGCUCAUUUAUUAUCUAUUCCACUUGGUAAACCUCCUCACUUUGAUGGAGAGGACUACAGAUUUUGGAGUCACAAAAUGUGUAGUCACUUGUUCUCUCUCCAUCCUAGUAUAUGGGAGAUUGUAGAGAGUGGAAUGCACUUUGAUAGUACGGAUAGUCCCUUGUUCAUUAAUGAGCAAAUUCAUAAAAAUGCACAAGAUACUACUGUUCUUCUAGCUUCAUUGUGCAGGGAUGAAUACCACAAAGUGAGCGGCUUGGAUAACGCCAAGCAAAUCUGGGACACCCUCAAGAUCUCUCAUGAGGGGAAUGACGUCACAAUGCUCACCAAGAUGGAGUUGGUGGAGGGCGAACUCGGGAGGUUCGCUAUGAUAAGGGGAGAAGAGCCAACCCAAACGUACAAUCGGCUCAAGACCCUUGUCAACAAGAUAAGAAGCUAUGGAAGCACGCGAUGGACGGACCACGACGUCGUCCGCCUAAUGCUAAGGUCUUUUACUGUCCUUGAUCCUCAUCUUGUAAACAAUAUUUGUGAGAAUCUUAGGUACACCAAGAUGACGCCCGAGGAGAUACUUGGAAAGUUCGUAAGCGGGCGAAUGAUGAUCAAGGAAGCAAGAUACGUGGACGACGCAUUGAAUGGUCCAAUCAAUGAGCCUCAACCUCUUGCUCUCAAGGCAACAAGAAGCAAAGAGACGCUACCUAGCAAGGUGGCACAAAUUGAGGCGGCCGGACUUAAUGAUGAAGAUAUGGCUCUCAUCAUCAAGAGAUUCAAGACGGCGCUAAAAGGUCGCAAGGGGCAGCCAAGCAAGACCAAGACAAAGGGGAAGCGCUCAUGCUUCAAAUGUGGUAAGCUUGGUCAUUUUAUUGUUAAUUGUCCCGACAAUGAUAGUGAUCAGGAUCAAGGGAACAAGAGGGAGAAGAAGAAGAACUAUAAGAAGGCAAAGGGCGAGGCGCAUCUAGGCAAGGAGUGGGAUUCGGAUUGCUCCUCUUCCGACUCUGACAAUGAGGGACUCGCCGCCACCGCCUUCAACAAGUCAUCCCUCUUCCCCAACGAGCGUCACACAUGCCUUAUGGCAAGGGAGAAGAAGGUAUGUACUCGAAACUCUACUUAUGCUUCUUCAAGUGAUGACGAAUCUAGUGAUGAGGAUGAAAUAGACUAUUCAUGUUUAUUUAAGGGCCUAGAUAGAACCAAGGUAGAUAAAAUUAAUGAAUUGAUUGAUGCCUUCAAUGAUAAGAAUAGGCUUUUAGAAAAGCAAGAGGAUUUGUUGUAUGAAGAACAUGACAAAUUUGUAGAAGCACAAAAAUCUCAUGCUCUAGAAGUUAAAAGAAAUGAAAUGCUUUCUUGUGAAUUAUCUUCUUGCCAUGAAACAAUUUCUAACUUAAGGAGCAUUAAUGAUGAUUUGAAUGCUAAGUUAGAAAUAGCUAGUAAAUCAACAUCUUGUGUAGAAAUUGUUGCAACUUGUAAUAGGUGUAAAGAUUUUGACAUUGAUGCUUGUAGUGAACACCAAGUUUCAAUUUCUAAACUUAAUGAUGAAUUGGCUAGUCUUAAUGCUCAACUUAAGACUAGCAAGAGCGAAUUUGAUAAGCUAAAAUUUGCGAGGGAUGCCUACACGAUUGGUAGACACCCAUCAAUUAAGGAUGGACUUGGCUUCAAGAGGGAAGCCAAGAACUUAACAAGCCAUAAGGUUCCCAUCCCCACCAAGGAGAAAGGGAAGGCUCCUAUGGCGAGUAGUACUAAAAAGCACCAUGCUUUUAUGUAUCAUAAUAAGAGACAUUCUAGAAAUGACUAUAGAAGUUAUGAUUCACAUGCUAUGUUUGCUUCUAGUUCUUCUUAUAUGCAUGAUAGAGAUGUAUCUAGGAGAUAUGUUCACCAUGUGCCUAGAAAGAAUAUUGUUCAUGUUUCUAGGAAAAUUAUGGAUGGUCCUUCUACAAUAUAUCAUGCUUUAAAUACUUCCUUUGCUAUUUGUAGAAAGGAUAGGAAGAUAGUUGCUAGGAAAUUAGGGGCAAAAUGCAAAGGUGAUAAAACUUGCAUUUGGGUCCCUAAGACAAUCAUGACUAACCUCGUAGGACCCAACAAGAGUUGGGUACCUAAGUCCCAAGCCUAAAUUUGCCUUGCAGGUUUAUGCAUCCGGGGGUUCAAGCUGGAUUAUCGACAGCGGAUGCACAAACCAUAUGACGGGGGAGAAGAAGAUGUUCACCUCCUACGUCAAGAAUAAGGAUUCCCAAGAUUCAAUCAUAUUUGGUGAUGGGAACCAAGGCAAGGUGAAAGGUUUAGGCAAGAUUGCAAUUUCAAAUGAGCACUCUAUCUCUAAUGUGUUUUUAGUUGAGUCUCUGGGAUAUAAUUUACUAUCUGUUAGUCAAUUAUGCAAUAUGGGAUAUAACUGUCUAUUCACUAAUAUAGAUGUGUCUGUCUUUAGAAGAUGUGAUGGUUCACUAGCUUUUAAGGGUGUACUAGACGGCAAACUUUACUUAGUUGAUUUUGCAAAAGAAGAGGCUGGUCUAGAUGCAUGCUUAAUUGCUAAGACUAGCAUGGGUUGGCUGUGGCAUCGCCGCUUAGCACAUGUGGGGAUGAAGAACCUUCACAAGCUUCUAAAGGGAGAACACGUGAUAGGUUUGACUAACGUGCAAUUCGAAAAAGAUAGACCUUGUGCAGCUUGUCAGGCAGGUAAACAAGUGGGAGGAGCACAUCACAGCAAGAAUGUGAUGACCACAUCAAGACCCCUGGAGCUGCUACAUAUGGACCUCUUCGGACCCGUCGCCUAUCUAAGCAUAGGAGGAAGUAAGUAUGGUCUAGUUAUUGUUGAUGACUUUUCCCGCUUCACUUGGAUAUUCUUUUUAUAGGAUAAGUCUGAAACCCAAGGGACCCUCAAGCGCUUUCUAAGGAGAGCUCAAAACGAGUUUGAGCUCAAGGUGAAGAAGAUAAGGAGCGACAAUGGGUCUGAGUUCAAGAACCUUCAAGUGGAGGAGUUCCUUGAGGAGGAAGGGAUCAAGCACGAGUUCUCCGCUCCCUACACACCACAGCAAAAUGGUGUGGUAGAGAGGAAGAACAGGACGCUAAUCGAUAUGGCAAUAACGAUGCUUGGAGAGUUCAAGACUCCCGAGCGUUUUUGGUCGGAAGCAGUGAACACGGCUUGCCACGCCAUCAACCGGGUCUACCUUCAUCGCCUCCUCAAGAAGACAUCGUAUGAGCUUCUAACCGGUAACAAACCCAAUGUAUCUUACUUUCGUGUAUUUGGGAGCAAAUGCUACAUUCUAGUGAAGAAGGGUAGAAAUUCUAAGUUUGCUCCCAAAGCUGUAGAAGGGUUUUUGUUAGGUUAUGACUCAAAUACAAAGACGUAUAGGGUCUUCAACAAAUCAUCAGGUUUGGUUGAAGUCUCUAGCGACGUUGUAUUUGAUGAGACUAAUGGCUCUCCAAGAGAGCAAGUUGUUGAUCUUGAUGAUGUAGAUGAAGAAGAUGUUCCGACGGCCGCUAUACGAACCAUGGUGAUUGGUGAUGUACAACCAUAGGAACAAAAGGAGCAGGAUCAACCUUCUUCCUCAACUAUGGUGCAUCCCCCAACUCAAGACGAUGAACAGGUUCAUCAACAGGAGGCGUAUGAUCAAGGGGGAGCACAAGAUGAUCAUGUGAUGGAGGAAGAAACUCAACCGGCACCUCCAACCCAAGUUCGAGCGAUGAUUCAAAGGGAUCAUCCCGUCGAUCAAAUUCUGGGUGAUAUUAGCAAGGGAGUAAGUACUCGAUCUCGUUUAGUUAGUUUUUGUGAGCAUUACUCCUUUGUCUCUUCUAUUGAGCCUUUCAGGGUAGAAGAGGCCAUGCUAGAUCCGGACUGGGUGUUGGCCAUGCAAGCGGAGCUCAACAAUUUCAAGAGAAAUGAAGUUUGGACGCUGGUGCCUCGUCCUAAGCAAAAUGUUGUGGGAACCAAGUGGGUGUUCCGCAACAAACAAGACGAGCACGGAGUGGUGACGAGAAACAAGGCUCGACUUGUGGCAAAAGGUUAUGCCCAAGUCGCAGGUUUGGACUUUGAGGAGACUUUUGCUCCUAUGGCUAGGCUAGAGUCCAUUCGUAUUUUGCUAGCAUAUGCCGCUCACCAUUCUUUCAGGUUGUUCCAAAUGGAUGUGAAGAGCGUGUUCCUCAAUGGGCCAAUCAAGGAGGAGGUGUACGUAGAGCAACCCCCUGGCUUUGAGGAUGAACGUUACCCCGACCACCUGUGUAAGCUCUCUAAGGCGCUCUAUGGACUUAAGCAAGCCCCAAGAGCAUGGUAUGAAUGCCUUAGAGACUUUCUAAUUGCUAAUGCUUUCAAGGUUGGGAAAGCCGAUCCAACUCUGUUCACUAAGACUUGUGACAGUGAUCUUUUGUAUGCCAAAUUUAUGUCGAUGACAUAAUAUUUGGUUCUACUAAUAAAAAGUCUUGUGAAGAGUUUAGCAGGGUAAUGACGCAGAAAUUCGAGAUGUCGAUGAUCGGCGAGUUGAACUACUUCCUUGGGUUCCAAGUGAAGCAACUCAAGGAUGGCACCUUCAUCUCUCAAACGAAGUACACGCAAGACUUGCUGAAGCGGUUUGGGAUGAAGGACGCCAAGCCCGCAAAGACUCCGAUGGGGACCGACGAACACACCGACCUCAACAAAGGAGGUAAGUCCGUUGAUCAAAAGGCAUACCGGUCAAUGAUAGGGUCGUUACUUUACUUAUGUGCUAGUAGACCGGAUAUUAUGCUUAGCGUAUGCAUGUGUGCUAGAUUUCAAUCCGAUCCUAAGGAGUGUCACUUAGUGGCAGUGAAGCGAAUCCUUAGAUAUUUAGUUGCUACGCCUUGCUUCGGGCUCUGGUAUCCAAAGGGGUCUACCUUUGACUUGAUUGGAUAUUCAGAUUCCGACUAUGCUGGAUGUAAGGUCGAUAGGAAGAGUACAUCGGGGACGUGCUAAUUCUUAGGAAGGUCCCUGGUGUCAUGGAACUCUAAGAAACAAACUUCUGUUGCCCUAUCCACCGCUGAGGCCGAGUACGUUGCCGCAGGACAGUGUUGCGCGCAACUACUUUGGAUGAGGCAAACCCUCAGGGACUUUGGCUACAAUCUGACCAAAGUCCCACUCCUAUGUGAUAAUGAGAGUGCUAUCCGCAUGGCGGAAAAUCCUGUUGAACACAGCCGCACAAAGCACAUAGACAUCCGGCAUCACUUUUUGAGAGACCACCAGCAAAAGGGAGAUAUCGAAGUGUUUCAUGUUAACACCGAGAACCAGCUAGCCGAUAUCUUUACAAAGCCUCUAGAUGAGAAGACCUUUUGCAGGUUGCGUAGUGAGCUAAAUGUCCUAGAUUCGCGGAACUUGGAUUGAUUUACAGCAUACAUGUGUUUAUGCCUUUGAUCAUGUUCCCUAUGCAUUUCGUUGCUUACUUAUGGUGCUCAAGUUGUACAAACACUCCCCGGACCUUUGAGACUAACCAUGUGCUUGAGUUUGCUUAUUUUAGUCUCAAAGGGGGAGCUGUGCUACAACUUGACCCUUUGAGACUAACCAUGUGCUUGAGUUUGCUUAUUUUAGUCUCAAAGGAGGUUUGAAAGGGAAAAGGUGGACUUGGACCAUGAAAGACUUCCACUGCACUCCGAUGAGAGGGUAACUUAUUCCAAGUUCAUCUCAUGUACUCUUAUUGCCUUUGUAUUCUUAUUGAAGAUUUUGGUGAGGCAAUGGGGUUUAAGGGCCAAGAUUGAUCCCGUUUUGGUGCUUGAUGCCAAAGGGGAGAAAAUAAAGGCCAAAGCAAUAAAUGGAUCAACUACCACUUGAGAAUUUUGAAAAAGUAGAGUUAGAGUUUUUGUUUGUCAAAAUACUCUUGUUUGUCUCUUAUUCUCAAAAGUUGGCCUCUUGUGGGGAGAAGUGUUGAUUAUGGGAAAAAGGGGAGAAAAAGUAGAGUUAGAGUUUUUGUUUGUCAAAAUACUCUUGUUUGUCUCUUAUUCUCAAAAGUUGGCCUCUUGUGGGGAGAAGUGUUGAUUAUGGGAAAAGGGGAGUUUUUGAAAUCCUUGAUCAAUUUUUUGGAAUACCUCUCUUUAUGUCUUUACAAGUGUGUUUGACUUAGAGAUAGGAAUUUAAAGUUGAUUUGCAAAAACAAACCAAGUGGUGGCAAAGAAUGAUCCACAUAUGCCAAAUCUGAUUCAAAACAAAUUUGAGUUUUAUUUGAAGUGAUUUUGGACUUGUUCUACUUGCUUUAUGUUAUGUUAGCAUAAAUCACCAAAAAGGGGGAGAUUGAAAGGGAAAUGUGUCCUUGGGCCAUUUCUAAGUAUUUUGGUGAUUUAGUGUCCAACACAAGUGCCUAAGUAUAAAAUGGUGAACAAAGUACAAAUCAAGGAUAAAGGUAUGUUUCUCAGACUUAGUACAUUGUUUUAGAGACUAAUGUAUAGUGUCUAAGUGCUGGAACCAGGAAAAAUCGAAUUGGAAAUGAGAUGGCUUUGUUCAGCCAAAGUCUGCUCAGUCUGGGAGCACCGGACUGUCCGGUGGUGCACCGGACAGUGUCUGGUGCGCCAGGCUGGCUCGAGUGAACUGGCCGCUCUCGGGAAUUCACCGGCGACGUAUGGCUAUAAUUCACCGGACUGUCCGGUGUGCACCGGACUGUCCGGUGAGCCAACGGUCGGUCGGGCCAACGGUCGGCCGCGCGAUCUGCGCGGGACACGUGGCCGAGCCAACGGCUAGAAGGGGGCACCAGACAUGUCCGGUGCGCCAACGGCUCUCUGGCUGCCAACGGUCGGCUGCGCCAGUUAAGGAAAGAAAUCGGGCACCGAACAGUGUCCGGUGUGCACCGGACUGUCCGGUGCGCCACGCGACAGAAGGCAAGAAUUGCCUUCCCAGAUUGCUCUCAACGGCUCCUAGCUGCCUUGGGGCUAUAAAAGGGACCCCUAGGCGCAUGGAGGAGCACACCAAGCAUUCUAAAAGCAUUCCUAAGCACUAAGACAUCGAUUACGCGCCUUUGAUUCUUUGCGAUAGCAAUUAGAGCUCUAGUUGAGUUGUGAACUCAUUGAGUUGUGUUGUGAGCUCUUGUUGCGACUUGUGUGCGUAGCGUUGCUGUGAUUUCUUGUCUUGAGUGUGUUGCUUAUCCCUCCCUUACUCCGUGCUUCUUUGUGAACUUCAAGUGUAAGGGCGAGAGGCUCCAAAGUGUGGAGAUUCCUCGCAAACGGGAUAUAGUAAAGCAAGCAAAACACCGUGGUAUUCAAGUGGGUCUUUGGACCGCUUGAGAGGGGUUGAUUGCAACCCUCGUCCGUUGGGACGCCACAACGUGGAGUAGGCAAGCGUUGGUCUUGGCCGAACCACGGGAUAACCACCGUGCCAUCUCUGUGAUUGAUAUCUUUGUGGUUAUUGUGUUUUGUUGAGACUCCUCUCUAGCCACUUGGUGAUUAUUGUGCUAACACUUAACCAAGUUUUGUGGCUUAAGUUUUAAGUUUUACAGGAUCACCUAUUCACCCCCCUCUAGGUGCUCUCAGAAGGUAGGAACCAUAAGAAGAGCAGCACCAGUCUAAGUGGUUUAUGGCAGCAUUUCGCUUGAAAUGAGGGAAGAAGUUAUUGAACCUGUUGUUGAGCCUGAGCCUGAGCCCGAGCCCGAGCCGCAUGACAACGAUGCACCAUGAAUAGGAAAAGCACAAAGACAUCAGUUCUGAUAGGAAGAUGAAAUGGAGGGCAGGGCACUGCUUAUAAUGUUCUAGAGGUAGUCAGAAUUUAGAAAUAAUGGGAAGCCCCGUACUUGUUACGUGGAUAAUAUUGUCUAAAUUUAAACCAACAAUAGAUCUGUACUCUGUAGUAGGAUUGAAUUGUCGGAUAUGUACAUGUCAUCAUUCUUCUAUUUUCGUGAAACGUGUCACUUCCUGAUCUCUUUACUCCGCAAAUGCGCAAGAACAAUAUGCAUACUAAAUACUUUGGCUGACACACCAUAUGCUCGUUCCUUGCUUUCGAUCAGCUCAGGAGUAACGCACCUAAUUAUAUAUAUGUUUAAGAGAUCCUGAAUAAUUAUUUUCGAACGAUGAAAAGAGACUGCAUGGAAAUUUUCCUAUUACUAAGCUGACCUAUGUAAGUUUCUGCAUCACCAAGUAACAAAUAAAUCUAUCGCUUAUGCGCAUCGAUUUCUGCUUAGCUAGAGCCACAAGCUGAUGAACUACACAAUCUGGGAUUUCUCUGCCAGGAUUUUUUUGCCUGUAAGAUUUCGAAGCACUUCUUCGAGCUCAAUAUUAUUGCAAACCACCUUUUACUUACAGGUUUUAAGGGAGAAUAUACAUAACGGACAACUGCUUAAGGGGGAGUGUUAUGAAAGAUAAGCAGUUGCUUAUUGCUCCCAGCCGUGGACUCCAAGGGAUGUGCCCCUUGCAUGUUCUCUUCAUGGUGACGGGUGUGACCCCACAAAGGAACAGACAACACAUGGUCUGCAUGGCUUCAAGGGACGUGCCCCUAGCACGUUCGCACAUAUGCUUUCUCUGGUGUAUGGGCGAAGGGUCACAUCCUAUCGGACAUUUCAAUUUCUGGAAUAUUAUUUUGAGUAUUCAGAUCUAAAUCCAAAGUUCUGAUUUUUUUACUGUUUAUAGGCGCAAGCUUGUCGAGCUCAUUGACAAGCUUGAUGAAGGUACAAUAAAUUGGACAUAGUUUGCAAGUGAGGUGAAGAUGCACCAUGGAAACAGGCUUGGAGGUCCGUAUCAGAGGUUGUCUAGUCGAAGUCUGAGGCAUGAGGCGUAUUUUUAUGCAAAUCCUCUUCCAGGGUGCUUGUGCAGAAGAAACACAUAGGAUCAAGUGGCAUGAACCUUACAUACGAAUAGACAGUUAUCAUACAUCGAGCUUUCCUCCAACUCAUUGACAUACACCAAACAGUGAAAAUCCGAGUAGACUGACAGCAAAAGGACAUGUUUUUUUCUUCCUAUAAACAGAUAAAAUUUAUGUAGUUUUCCAUCUUACACGAGGAUACAGGAGGGAACACUCACUGAAAUGUGCAUUUUCAAGGGAUUGUUUAUUCAGGUUUUAAAAUAGAACAUGCAAAGAUAUUCAAAGAGGAUAUGUGUUGUACCACAGAUUAUAGAAUUAGCAGAUUUGAUGAGUUUUUAGUGUAUGUUUGUAUUUACUCCAUAGUCCACAUGUAGAGCCUCUCAUGUGGGAGAUUCUUGUGGGAGCCUCUGUCACUUGGUUUGUCCUCCAGAUGUACAGCCUUAAAUCUAAAAUUUAACUUUAUUCAUUUUAUUAUGCACAAUAAUCAUUAGUUG